Columba livia (rock pigeon) is the source of this 52821-nucleotide long non-coding RNA. RefSeq lists it as uncharacterized. Lineage: Eukaryota; Metazoa; Chordata; Aves; Columbiformes; Columbidae. The record is from RefSeq and is a predicted model, not a curated record. The transcript is spliced from 3 exons.
GAUAAACCUUUCCCGCUUGACACUGUCUGGACUGGUGACUUAUAAAACCAACCAUUAUAAAAAAAUCCAAAGCCCUGCCUGUAGCACCAGUCUUGGAGCCAACCAUUAAGAGACUGAAUUUUCCUAUUCCAUCCCACAUCGUCCCUUGAAGAUGGAAGGAGUGAAGAGAAGAUCACUUGAGCCCCUGAGUCUUUCACCAUCCUUCCCAAGACCUUGAAAUCAUUCUUCAUUCCCCUCAGACUACGGGAAGCAGCUUCCUCCCCAUCUGUCUGGAAGACCAGCAGCGGGUAGUAGUCUGUCGGGUGCACCAGUUUGGGGAGCUCUCUAGCAAUAUCCUUGAUCUGGGCUCCAGGUAAAUGACAAACUUCCCUAAGAUGGGGGUCAACUCUGCAUAUUGGGCCCUCUGUUCCUUUCAGAAGGGAAUUUCCUAUUACAAUCACCCUUCUUUCUUUCUUAUCAGAGGCAGUCUUAAGUUGUGAAGUCAACCACCUCUUCCUGUGUGAUCUUGUAGGCAGGCUUGGCACCACCUCCUCACCUACCUCUUCUUCAAGAUCCAGGGCCUCAAACCUAUUACGGAGAGGCACCUGGGGAGACAAAGCAGGCAGGGAGGGGGGCUGCCCGUGACGCCGAAGAUGGAGUAGAAGAGGUAAGCUCACCUGAAACUGAAAGUUUUGGUGGAUGAGAAGGACUCUUACAGCUGCCUGAGCAGCAGGAGUGGACUAAGGAACAUGUAGACCUGCUGAAGAAAUGGGUGGUAGGUCUCGUGAGAAAGGAAAUAGAAAAUCUUGAGUUACUCAACAUCUUUUCUUGCUUUUUGUCUACCAGCAAGAUCUGCUGUCAGGUCUCCUAGAUCUAGGUGGUUAGAGGCCAAGUUUGGGGCAUGGUAAAAGAAGAUUGAAUUAAGGACUUCUUAAGCAACCUAGACAUACACAGAAGUUCAUGGCAUUGAGUGAGAUGCAUCCAGUGCUACUGAGGGAACGUCAUUGUGAAGCCUCUCUGUGUGAUAUUUGAGAAGACAUGGUGCCUGAGUGAAGUACCUUAUGACUGGAAGAGGCAAGCAUUACAGCUGUCCUGAAGAAUGCUAAGGUGGACUUGGGGAACUUCAAGCCAGACAGUGUAAUUGAAGUCUCCAGGAAGAUAAUGGAGCCGUUCUUCCUGGAAGCCAUUUCCAGGCAUGUCAGGAGAAGGUGAUUUGGAAUAGCAGGCACAGAUUUACCUGGCCAACUUGUACCUGACCAACCUGAUUUCCAUGUACAAGGAUAUGAUUAGCAGUGUAUGGGAAGAGCAAAACUUCUGACACAGUCUCUUUUUACCCAAAGUGGAGAAACAUGCACUGGUUUGGCAGAUUACCAGGUGAGUGGAAAACUGACUGGACUGGUAGGCUCAAAGGGUAGGAGUUCAGGAUAGUGGCUGGUUAGGCAUGGCCAUCUUCAGGGCUUUAUCGUACUGAUGCUGACGUUUGAUGUCUUCAUCAGUCAUCCAGAAAAUAGGAUGAGUGCACCCUUAAGAAGACUGCAGAUGACACCAGAUUGGAGAGGGGAAUGGCUGAUAAGCUGGAGGGCAGGGCUCAUAUUCAGAGCUACUUCAACAAGUUGGAGAGGUGGACUGAUGGGGACCUUUUGAAGUUCAAAAAAGUCAGAUUCAGACUUCCUACACUUGGAAGGGAUCAGCCUCCUGCAACAGGUACACUGGGGAUUGAUGACUAGAGAGCUGCCAUGCAAAGCAGAAUCUGGGAAUUCUGGCAGACAGCAAGCUGAACAACAUGCCAUUGUAGCAAUGAAGGCCAAGCCCACUCUGGGCAUCAUUAGCAGACUCUGAACUGGGGGAAUUAAUUAACCUCCUCAAUUCAUUACUUGUAAGAUAGCAUCUGCAAUGCUCUCUGCAGUUUUGAGCUCACCAGUACAAGGAAGAUGCAGACAUCUACAACUACAGGCAACUACAGGCCUGCCAGCCUGACCUCGGUGCCUGGCAGGGUUAUGGAGCAGAUCAUCCUGAAUGGAAUCACACAGCACCUUCAGGAUGGAGAAGGGAUCAGACCCAGCCAGCAUGGGUUUAGGAGGGGCAGGUCCUGUCUGACCAACCUGAUCUCCUUUUAUGAUCAGGUGACCCACCUGGUGGAUGAGGAGAAAGCUGUAGACGUCGUCUAUCUAGACUUCAGCAAAGCCUUUGACACUGUCUCCCAUAAUAUACUCCUGCAAAAGCUGGUAGCCCAUGGCUUGGACAAGUGCACUCUACACUGGGUUAAGAACUAGCUGGAGGGCCGGGCCCAGAGAGUGCUGGUGAAUGGAGCUGCAUCCAGCUGGCGGCCAGUCACUAGUGGUGUUCCCCAGGGGUCAGUGUUGGGUCCAGUCCUGUUUAACAUCUUUAUUGAUUAUUUAGAUGAGGGGAUUGAGACCAUCAACAGCAAAGUUGCUGAUGACACCAAGUUUGGAGGGAGUGUCGACCUGCUGGAAGGCAGGAGGGCUCUGCAGAGGGAUCUGGAUAGAUUGGAAAAAUGGGCUGAUUCCAAUGGGAUGAAGUUCACAAGACCAAGUGCUGGGUCCUGCACUUUGGUCACAACAACCCCCUGCAGCUACAGGCUGGGUGCAGAGUGGCUGGAGAGCAGUGAGGCAGAAAGGGACCUGGGGGUACUAAUUGACAGGAAGCUCAACAUGAGCCAACAGUGUGCCCAGGUGGCCAAGAAGGCCAAUGGUAUCCUGUCCUGUAUCAAAAAUAGCGUGGUCAGCAGGACAAGGGAGGUGAUCCUUCCCCUGUACUCUGCAUUGGUGAGGCCACACCUGGAGUAUUGUGUUCGGUUCUGGGCCCCUCAGUUCAGGAAAGACAUUGAAGUGCUGGAGCGGGUCCAGAGAAGAGCAACAAGACUGGUGAAGGGACUCGAACACGAGACCUAUGAGGAGAGGCUGAGGGAGCUGGGGUUGUUUAGUCUGGAGAAGAGGAGGCUUAGAGGUGACCUCAUCACUCUCUAUAACUACCUGAAGGGAAGUCAGCCAGGUGGGGAUUGGUCUCUUCUCCCAGGAAGUUAGCAACAGGACAAGGGGGCAUGGGCUUAAACUCUGCCAGGGGAAAUUUAGGCUGGAUAUUAGAAAGAAAUUCUUUACGGAGAGAGUGAUCAAGCAUUGGAAUGGCCUGCCCAGGGAGGUGGUGGACUCACCGUCCCUGGAGGUUUUUAAACUGAGAUUGGACAUGACACUUAGUGCCAUGAUCUAGUAAAUGGACUGAAGUUGGACCAAGGGUUGGACUUGAUGAUCUCUGAGGACUUUUCCAACCCAGUCGAUUCUGUGAUUCUGUGUGACAUGCUGGAGGGAGUCUAGUGGUGAGCCACUGAGAUGGUGGCUGGAGUCCAUGAGUCUCUGCAUCCCAGAGUCUUGAGGGAACUGGCUGAUGUAGUUGCCAAACCACUCUCCAUGACAUUUGAGAAGUCAUGGCAGUCACAUGAAGUUCCUGGUGACUGGAAAAACGGAAACAUCACACUCCUUUUUAAAAAGGGUAGAGAGGAGGACCCUGUGAGCUACCAGCCUGUCAGCCUCACAUCUGUGCCUGGGAAGAUCAUGAAACAGAUCCUCCGGGAAGCUAUGCUAAGGCAUGUGGAGGACAGGGAGGUGAUUCGAGACAGCUAGCAUAGCUUCACCAAGGGCAAGUCCUGCCUGACAAACCUAGUGGCCUUCUAUGACAGAGUAACAACGUCAGUGCACUGAGGAAGUGUGUACACAUACGCAGGCAUGACGCAAGAAGAGCCAGAGGCCACGAAUGCAUUUGCAAAGAGCAAGUUUUAUUUUAGUUACCUCUCUACUGGGGGAUCUCCAAAGCCACACCUGAGCUCCCAGGCAGAGAUGACACCAACGGGGACGCAGGUGCUGGUAAGUUCAGCCCUGCUGGAAGAUCACCGGGCCUGCUGAGCUCGCCUGUAUUUCAAGGCUUCAGGCAGACACAGCCUCUUGCUUUUUCUCACAACAAAGCAGGAAUCUCAGACAUAGUGAUAAGGUGCCUAGAGUUUCUCACAGGGCUAUGUUAUCUAACAUGGAGGUUCUACUCAUCAAGCACACAAGGUCAGUAAAACAAUUAGUGUGAUGUAUGUGCUUUUUCUACAGACAGGUGCAAGUAGCUUAAGUGUAUUUACAUUUAACUAAUCUCGCCAAAUCUUCCGCUAUAUCCCCAUACAGAAGGGCUACUGAUGUUGUCUGUCUGGACUUCUAUAAAACAUUUGAUGUGGUGCCAUACAACAUCCUCUCUCUAAAUUGGAGAGGUGUGGAUUUGGUGGGUGGACUGUUUGGUGGAUGAGGAACUGGCUGGAUGUUUGCACCCAGAGUGUGGUGGUGAAUGGCACAGUGUCUGGAUGGACACCGUAACAAGUGAUGUGACUCAGGGGUCCAUACUGGGACCAGUACUAUUUAAUAUCUUCAUCAAUGACACAAACAUUAGGAACGAGUGCAACCUCAGCAAGUUUGCGGAUGGCAUAAAGCUGAGUGGUGCAGUUGACACUCCUGAGGGACAGGAUGGCACCCAGAGGGACCUGGAAAAGCUUGAGAAGUGGGCCCAUGUGAACCUCAUGAGGUUCAGCAAGGCCAAGUGCAAGGUCUUGCAGCGGGGCUUGGGUAACCUCCAGUAUCAGUACAGGCUGGGGGAUGGAGGCAUUGAGAGCAGCCUUGCAGAGAAGGACUUGGGGGUACUGGUGAAUGAAGGAUUGGACAUGAGCCAGCAAUGUGCACUUGCAGCUGUCGCCUUUUACUGCAGGGUGACAAUAAAUCGUGGCAGACCUUCUCUGUUAAGCCACCCACCCUCCCCACUAGGAAAGGUAAAAGGAGGAAAAGGGAGAGAGACUUACAAGUUGGAAAAAAUUAAAAAUGCUUUACUAAUGCUAACAAUAAAUAGAGAAAAUAAUACAAACUAUACAAAAGCAAUCUUGAGUUUCACGGAGCUGCCCGCGGCAGGGCUGGUGUUGCUCCAGCGGCUGCAGGGCAGGCACCCAGAAGUCCUGGGCUGGACUCUGCAGUAAACUGGUACUUGACUCAGGGAUGCAGGGUCUGGAACCAGUCUCAGAUCGCAGACACGACAGGCAGGUCCUCUUCAGAUGCUGGCCAUCGUCGAAGAGAAUGAGACCCUCGUGAUCUCCCACUUUUAUAGUGUGUAUGAGGUGUAUGGGAUUAAAUACUUAGUUCGUCAGUUUUAGUCACCUGUUCUGUCUUCCCCCCUCCUUGCAAGUAAGCCCCUCUCACCUAUGGGAUGUGCAAAAUUUAUCAGUAACCUUGGCUGCCAUAGCAAUAAGUGUAUACCUGUGGCUCUUCUGCAUACCGUUGCUACCAUUAUCAGCUCCAGAGUGAACUGUGUCUGAAAAAACAUGCAGCCAGAUUCAGAAAAGUGCAGUUACUCAGAACUUAGCUGAAAGGAAAAUUCACUGAAAGAGAAACUGGUCUUGUUUUAAACAAAACCAGGGCAGCAGCCCUGAAGGCCUAUUGUAUCCUGGGCUGCAUUGUGGCCAGCAGGUUGACGGCCAUGAUUCUGCUCCUCUGCUCUGCUGAGACCCCACCUGGAGUCCUGUGUCCAGCUCUGGAGCCCUCAGUACAGGAAGGACAUGGACCUGUUGGAGAGGGUCUAGAGGAGGCCACCAAGAUGAUCAGAGGCUGGAACAGCUCUCCUGUGAGGACAGGCUGAGAGAGUUGGUUGUUCAGCCUGGAGAAGAGAAGGCUUCGUGGAGACGUUAUUGCAGUUUUUCAGUACUUAAAAGGUACCUGUAAGAAAGAUGGGGACAGACUUUUUAGAAGGGCACGUUACAGCAAUACAAGGGGUACUGAUUUUAAACUAAAAAAGGUGAUUUAGGCUAGACAUGAGGAAGAAAGUUUUUACAAUGAGGGUGGUGAAACACUCCCAGUCUGCUCAUAGGGGUGGUAGAUGCCCCAUCCCUGGAGACGUUCGAGGCCAGGCUGGAUGGGCCUCUGAGCAACCUGGCCUGGUUGAAGAUGUUCCUGCUUAUUGCAGGGAGGUUGCACUAGAUGACUUUUGAGGGUCCAUUACAACCCAAACUAUUUUAUGAUUCUAUGAUAUACAGAGAGACUCUGAAAAACUGGGUUGUUUUGUCUUGAAGAAGGGAUGGCGUGGAGGGUGCUUUCUAGUUUAUGUUUUCAGCAAUCUAAUGGGUGAUAGUAGAGAAGACAGGUUCCUGGAGGUGCAGAGGGAAAGGAUGAGAAGAAAUGGGUUAAUAUUACAGGAGGAGAAAUUCUGAAUAGAUAUUAGGAAAAAGUUGUUCACUGUGAGUGGGGCUCAAAUGCUGGAGCAGGUUGUUGGCAUCUUCAUCCUUGGAGAUGCUCAAAGCUUGACUAGAAAAGCCCCUGAGCGAUGUGGACCUGACUUCAAUGUUGGCUCUCAUCUGAGCAGUAAAGUGGAGUAUGCAGUCUCCAGUGCUGGAGAGAAAGAGAAGGUCCCUUCCAACAUUCUUCUAUGGUUCCAUUAGCAGCAGCAUAAAUUUACAAUGAUUUACAAUGAAGUAAUGGAAGCAAAAAGAGAGCCACAAGACAAAAAAGCAAAAGGCAAAAUUGCAGAACUGAAAUAAAAAGUGUAUGAGAGAGAAGAGUCAGCUGUAUUUGAAGUUCUGUAGUUUUGAAAGUGUAAAUUUGCAUAGGUAAGACUUUUAUGUUUGUAUAGAAUUUAUGACAUCUUACUCCUUUUGUUUUGAGACUGGGAGAAAAGCCAUAUGAAGCUGCUCGUUAUUAGCCACAAUUAAUUAGAAAUCAGUCUCUGGAAACUACAGGAUGUUUCAAAAAGAUGGCCCCCAAGACCCUCAGACAUUACACUCUUUGACUUUUUCUUGUGGGGGUACAUCAGAUAUCAUGUUUUUGUGCCACCAUUACAGACUAAUCUGGAUGAGCUAAAAAACAGAAUCACAGCAGCAGUGACCUCAGUGGAAGAAGACACUUGGAGGGGCAUUUAGGACAAAUUCAACUAUUGUCUCGGUUUUGUCUGUACAGCAGGUGGAUGGAACAUAGAACAUUUAUAAAAAGGUUACUGAAACUUGAUUAUUCAUUAAACCAUUUGUAAGUUUUCGCGUAAUUGUAGCUUGUUGCCAUUGUGAAAUAUACUGCUUUGAAAUUGGGUCCCUCUUUUUGAUGGACCGUAUUAAUCAGAAUGUGGAAUACACUUAUUUCAAACACCAAAGGAAAAUAAAUGGAGAAAAAGAGAAUCAGAGCUGUUAUGAACAGACUGCAUUUUCUGUCUUGAAAAAUGCAUGAUUGUUUCUAGCUUACAGGACAUAAAUGGUAAGAGAAUGUGGAUAAUGUCCCCUGUCCCCUUUCUAUCCCCUGAUGGACUGCAACUAUCUUGGGAUGUCAAUCAGUCACUGUUAAUCCCUGUGUGAGCUCAGACAAUAGUGCAGUUUUCAACCUUGUUACCUAUAAAUGAGUAUGCUCUCAUUUUCUCAGCUGAUAGACCUGAUAUUCACACUGAUAAUGUUGAUAAAGUCAGAUAAUUAGUGAUAGUGACUUAAAAAAAACAAACAAAAACACCCUAAAAUGGUGCAACUUGCAGUCUACCUAAAAUUUUCAUUUUAUAAAAUAUUUUGAGAGUUAAGUGAGCUGGUGGCCAUCUCAAAUGCUCACUUGAUUUAAAAUAUAUGCAUAAUAUGUACAUGUGUUACUUGGCUUAAAAAAGAAAGCAAAAUGUAAUGUAAAUGACUUCUUGUUUGCCUUUACACAGUGUCUGGACCUUUGUCGGCUGCACAGCAAUCCCAGUGGACUGCUGUUUGGAUAGCAAGAGGCCAGUUCUGCGCUGCCUGCCAGAUUGCCCACAUCAAAGAGAACGACAACAUUUCUGCCAAGUCAGGUCAAAAGUUUUUACAAGAGAAGCAGAUUUUGAAAUAAAAACUUUUGGUCAGAUUCAUGUGCUUAACACGUUCUGCCUGAUGUUCCUCUUGUGUAGCUGCAUACAUUUAAAUAUGAUGAGUUAUCAAAAUAGUAAUUUUUUAAUUGGAAAAAAUGAAGAAUGAAUGUCUACAUGUGGUUAAAAAGGUAGAUUCUUAUGUAGUUUUGUUUUACAGUACUUUUAUAAUAAACUUUUAAAAAAUAUGCAUGAAGAAGUAUCAGUACAUAGUUUAACUGUGAAAAGGUACAAAGCAUAUUUAUAUAUGUUGUAUUAAUGAUAAGCUGUCUGGGAGUGGUUACAGCCAAACAAAAAGCUGUUCUGUUAGUGUGGUAGUCAAACUUCAGCCCCCAAACUUCAGGUUGAAUCUUAGUCUUCCUGUGUUUUCCUGUAUCUAGAAUAUUUAGGAAAGCUCACUACUACUUUGCUUAUGUUUAUGAAAAAGUGGAAACAAAGGUGAUGUGAAUAUACUUGCCAAUACUGUAGAUUGUAAAUCUUUGCAGCACAACAUUAAUUUGUUUGGUUGCUAUUGUGAUGUAAUCACAGGAUAAGUUAAUAUUUUGUGUGUUUUCUGGAUUUUUCUCUCUUUUGAACUUCUGAUUCAGGAGAACUUGUAGUGUACCUCGAUUAAGGAAUUGAAAAAUUGCAGUAGUUGGUGGGUGCAGGUAUUUCAAACAUUCUUCACUGUCCUGAAGGAACUGAUCAUUGACUGUUCCCUGGCUAACCUGGUCACUUGCGGCCAGCCAUUAAAAUUCUACCUCUUUUCCUGCCCCAAACAAAGUAAGUUACUGCUGGCUAUCCCUACAUUUUUCUUACUUAUUAUGGUCAGCCUGAACUUCAUGGGAGUUCCCAUUUUUAAAAACACUGGGAUAGAUUUAAAAACAAAGUAACUUUUCAUCAGUCUUUCACAAGGAUAUAUUUUAUUAGUAGCUUAUCUUGAGCUGCUAAGACUUAUGAAAUAAACUGCAUCUGAUGUGUUUCAAAGGUAAUGUGGCAAAAUGAGGUAGAAAAAUAAAGACAUUACAAAAAUGAAUACAUUGCAAAUGGAACAAUGUCUAACUGAACAAAAUAGAAUAAGAAAGAUGGGGAAUAAUAAUAAAUCUAAGGAUUAUGUAGUGUAAUGAAAAGGAAGAAGGUGAAUUUUAAGACAGAUAAGAGGAUGAUGGGAAAUCAGGACUGAGAGACAGGAGACUAAACAAAUAUAGCUUACUGAACUUGACUUCCAGUCAAGAUGUUAGAAGAUUCCAGUAAGUAUAAUUUUAUGCAUGUUUUAUUGAAGCACUUUUCAAAUGCUCUUAACAAAAUUUUGCCUUUGUCAUUUACACAGGCUUGAGUUGGAACUCUCUGAGAACUUCUAAAAAUUCCUUAUGGCCUGUCUGGCCACACUAGGACAUAUUAAAAUACAAAAUUCUUGUGGUAGUGAAAAACACAUUGGUUCCCAAUGAAAGACAUCCUGAUUCUAGUGUGUGCUCUGUAACUGAAAUAAUGUGUACUUUGGCAAGUGGGUAGAACGAAAAAUGCCACACACAGGUAUCAAGAGUGAAAUAUCACUGUCUCUUUGUUACAAAUUGGCAUUCUGUCUUUUCAAUUAGAGAAUAAUCUAGUCAAAAGGCAGAUAGAAUUUCUGAGCCAAUUUUCCUAAAUGUGCUUCCUAGGUCGGACCACUUGAGGGCAGCAUCAGGCUAUUGUUAAAUUCAGCCUCUGCUGUUUCAACAGGGGCCUGCCGUGUGAGGGCUUUUCACUUCAUCGUAACAGAAUGUGAAUGCUAAUAUGAAGUCUUGUAAAAAUAAGUGAUUCAGCUUUUAACUGGCUUCUUCUAUGAUGCAGAAAAUUUAUUGUUUGCAGAACUGCAUGCAUCAGUUCAGCAUGGUUGAUGUGGUUAGAUAUCCUCUUCCAGAGUUUUAGCUUUUAAUUAAAGCACAAUACAAUCGUAAGAGCUGCUGUGUGAUAGUUCAGAAAAAAAUCUUGCUGGUGCCCUUGUGCAUCAUACAUUUAUUGCCCUUGAGAAUUUGUCAUGUACACUCAUGUUUAUAUGAAUCUGAUACAUUACGGAGGGUCUUUCCGAGAAUUACCAAUGCAAGUGGUAUCAAAAUUAUCUUUGUUUCAUGUUUUGGAGGUGGAAUGUGUAAAAACUUACCUUGAUAUCCAAUAAAUUGUCACUGCAUGCACAUAAAACAUAGCUGGUUACAUAGCACUUUCCUGUAGAAAUUGUGCUGUUGCUGUCUCAUUAUUCAGACCAGUACUGGAUUAUUGCAGUGUGUCAUUACAUUUCUAGAACUGUAUUCAGAACAUUCAGGGGGAAAGGACCAUAAAAAAAUCUCUGAGUAAUAACUAGAAGUAGACUUAACAACCACUUAACUGUAGUUUUCUUCUUAACCGUGAUUAUAUAACAAAGUAGUUUUUCUUUCAGAAAUGCUUUGGAUAUAAGCACAAUAUUAUAAAACCCCCUACUGAAUGAUGCUGACAGUUGCUUAACAUUGAUCAAGUUUUUUGAAAUCAGUCUUUAGAUGGAGGGCUGCAUUUCAGUCAGGAGGAGCAUUAAUGUGUAAAAUUAGUGACUGAAUGCCACGUGUUUUCAAAGGUAUUCUGAAUCUCACUGGUCUUUUUUUGUUUUCCCUUUCCCCUUCAAGUGGGCUUCUCAUGUCUAAUUCACUAGCUCCUUCCAUAUGUUUUGAUUUAAGCUACUGGUGCUGCCAUACGUGCUUCAAAACCUUAAUGAAGCAGGAAUCAUUCCUGUGUAUUUCAUGGCCAAACACUGCAAUUAACUGAGAGAAGAAAUAAUUUGACUUACUGUAUCUGCUAAGUAGUAAUGAUUGUAAGCAAAGGUCUUGGGCUAUAGAGAUCGGGGAAAAAAAAAAAGCAAGCUAUAGAAAGCUGCUGUGUGAAAGUAGUUUUGAUUUUGAGAGAAAAUAAGAAAGUGAAAACAAAUCUUGUAGUCUAAAGCAGGAUUAUGAAUGAUUCUAGAAUCAGAUAAGAGUUGAGUUUGACUGUUAUUUUGCCGUAUUGUUAGGGGUUAGUAACUCUCAAAUGAGCAGAGACUAUCUCUUAAGAAGUCCUAUUGUCUUGGGAGACUGUGGAUUAGAGUGAAAAAGACCAUAUUCUGUUUCUUUUUUCCUAAAGUUACACUACACCUAACUAACUAUCCGAGAUUGAUUGCUGAACUGUGUGGUGUAUGGGCUGGGCUGUGACUUCUGCAAAUGGGAAAAGCAUCUGCCUCAAUACUGUUAGAUGCUAUCUGACCCAGUGUAGUAGCAGGAGAUUUAUUGUGACCAUUAGUGAUGGUCACUUACUACCUAACUGCUUGUUGCAGGACAAUGAAGUUCUGGAGCUGUCAGUCUGCUCUUCUUAGGAAGUUUAAUGCAUUGCAUUGAGAUAUGCAAGUAUGGGGCAGCUCACAAGAUGAGGUCCUUGAGCUGUCUGAUCUUCUAAGCAGAGGGGCCUGUUUGUUUACCAGAGCAUCAUGAGUAUAUGUGGUGCUAAAUAAAUUAUUCCAGAUAAACGAAAAAAAUAAUGCAGAAGUGCUGUCCUUAGGUUAGCUGCAGACCUGUCUUUGAGUAGAAAGCAUAGUAAAGAAAUGUGUCAUAAUUCUGAAGUUGAAAGUUGUAGCAGUAAGUAAUAAAAACUAAUUGAAGACUUGUAUUUCAGGCUAUACUGCUUCAUUAUCUGAAAGUAUCCUUCUGAGUCUAUAAGAAAAAUAUAUUCUGUUUUCUUUUGUGCUUUUUCCUAGUUGCUGCAUAUGUGUGUGUCUGAACACUGCUGCUAUUAAAACAGCAGAAGCCACAACAUAAAACUUAUUCAAGGAAUCACGAACUGGAUGUGACUUUCAACACAAUAUGCAUCUCAUUUCCACCUUUAAGAUGUCAGUGGUUUGAAAAGGUAAAAAUGAAGUAGAGAAAGAUAUGUUUUCUGAAUCUUAAUACCUACUUCAAAAUACCUUGGGAAUACUCAAGAUGCAAAUUGUUUUAAAGAAAUUUAAUAUUUGAUUCAAAAUACUUCAGGAAUACUUCUUUCAAGCUGUACAUUGUCUUAAGGGUUUUGUUAUUGGGUGAAAAAAACCAACAGGAACACCAACAGCAAAAGAAACCCAACCAGUGUAGUGAAACCUGAUAUCCACAGUUUGUCUGUCUGAAAUGAGGAAUGACAUCUGUGGCUUCCUCUCCCUCACUGCGGCAAUCUGUUGACUCCUUGCAACUUUUUCAGGUUGCAGAGGUCUUCAGGGCUUGCUUUAUACAUGGGUCCUGCACUCGACAGAGCUCCUACCAGUUUGAAAGAAAACACAUUGCUUUGAAUACCUUAAUUCACUGGACAAGAUUUUCCAUUCUCUGUAGUGCAGGUGCUUUCAGAAUAUCAAGAAGUGGUAGGUGACAAGCAAGGAAGACUUGGGAAAUAGGUGAGACUAAAAGGCGUUUAAAUUUGAGGUGUAACAGCAGCUCAGGAAAAAUAUUUUCCAGUUAGCUCUUGCAAUCCUUGUAAACCAUUAGAAGAUGCUGCUGGUGAAGCACACGUCUGAGUGUACUUUUAUUUCCUUCUCGUACAUGAUGCAGUAGGAAUUAAAGCUGAAAUCUUAAUUAUGUUUGGGCCUCAAAGUAAGACCUUAAAAUUUUGCCCAGCUGCUUCAAAAAUAUCCUGUGUCUACAGAGCAGCAUAGUUAAUAAAAUAAGAAAAGUUGUAGGGACAUUUUAGUAUUUGAUUAAAACAGCUGGUAUGAGAGGGAAACAAACCGGCUUUUGUUCUUGGAAGCUUUCUUCAUGACUGCUGUAAAAGCUGUAGAACUGCUUCUUCUGCUAUAUGAUUACUUGCAUUAACAGCCUAAUCCAGGUGAUAGAAAGCCCAAACAGAUGAGAUGCAUUACUGGAUCUGUUGCUCACCAGUGUUGAGAAACUUACUGAAGGAGUCUAGGCUGAUAGGAGCCCGAGCUGCAGUGAUCAUGCCCUGGUGAAUUGUGAAUACAAUAUUUUUUUUUCUUAUUUAGAUUUCUACUUUAGGUUGGUUAAAUGAAAGCUGCAGAAUGAAAAAAACCACUGGUUUAGCUCUGACACUUUUGACCACUAUAACAGGGAAAAUUAGCAUUCAGGUGCAGCUUUGUUAUUUUUAUGUUUUCCCAGAGAAGAGAUGUGGAUGAGAGACUGAAAAUGGAAAAUUGAUUUGGGAACAGUCACUUUUCAUUUACCUAGAACCUCUAAAUAGAUUAUGAAGGCAUUGGACCGGUAGGGAAAUACAAGGCAGCCUUGGGAUGCCUGGCAAUUCAGGAAAGGGGAGUCGUGAGGGGCAGUAGCUCUGUAUGCUGACCUGAAGGACUGUUCAAACUCCCAUGAAAAAAUCAGUCAGAAAACCACGGCUCUAUUUUGCAUCUUUCCGGAAUGUGUGAAUUUCCACAUUUUUGCUCAUUUCUGUGUUGUUUUUGAAAAGCUCUGACUUUCUUUGUGCUACAGUGGUUUCAAGUGUUCGUAUCUAAAAAUGUGAAGAUACUGGACUCCCUUUAUUUUUUUCCAGUGAUGUGGACCCAAACCCAGACUGCUGCUAGCACUUGCUGUUCUUUUAGGUAUGCUCUGAAUCAUACAGGAGCUUGGACUGUACCAAGCCUUAUUCUCUUAGAGGAAAUGGGUUUUGGAGUAGUCUGGUUGACUAAACUUAUUUUGUAGUGGAGGUAUUUUUGGUGACCUUUUAUCACUGACUGAGAAGUUCAGGCAUCAAUUGUUCACUAGGCAGCUUUUGGAUAGUCUUUGCAUUCAGUUUGUCGUAAUAUGAAAUGCUUUUUCUCAUCCUCACUUGAGGUAGUUUUGAUACUAAGCUGUUGGCUGAUUCAUAGUUUUUUAAUUCAGAUACAGCAGAGUGCCUCUGUGGGAAAACAGGAUUCAUUCCUCCUUUGUAUCCUGUUGCUGGCUUUCAUGAGGCUACAUUUGUAGGAGUGUCAAAAAACAUGCACUUAUAAGUAAGAAGCAAUUUGAGCUUACAAGAAUUCUUUGUAAGAUAUUCAGAACCCAGCUCUGCUAAUAAAUGAAAAUAACCAGCACCCUAUUUAACACUGGAUCCUGGCAGGGAAAUGAGCAGAGCACUACUUGAGAUCAGAAAGGAGACAAUUACUUUAAUAAGAGCUUUGUCUUGCUGUUAAGUGCAAGCUGUCUUCCAUCUAAGUUGGAGCACUUGCAAUGCAGAGACUGUUAGCAGGGUUAAGAGCAUUUCACAUAUUACAUUUAAUGCUGAUUUUUCCAGAAAACAGCAGAUAGCUAUUGUAAAAAGGACACACACACAAGCUAUGGAUUAUUUUCUGUGUAUUUUUAUGCUACUUCUAAUGUGAGCAUUGAAUGCUGCUUUUAAUGUGGGCAUUGAUGUAUCCAUGUUCACCAAAGUAUCAAUCACUACUAUGAAAGCUAGUUGUGUGAUUUAAUACUAGGUGCUUCUCUGCUAAUUUGUGUUUUAGUAAUUGGAAUUACUUUGGGGUAUUUCAAAGAUGCUGACCAGAAUGCUGAACCUACUGAAAGGUUUUGGUUAUCUGUAUGUAAAGAAGUAUGUUAGUGUGGGCUUCUCUACACUGCUUCCCAAUAUACCUGAUCAAAAGAGUGAAUAGCUAAUGAAUGUGUCAGUUCUUGACCUGUCUGCCACCAGUGGCAAAGUGAUAAAGUUUGUCAGUGAUAAAGUUUGCCAGUCUGUUUGAUAUAGGUGAAUUGUUUUUGACCGUCUGUUUAGGGGCGUAGUUGCUAAAAAGUAUGGAAACAAAGAGUAUAUUCCUCUGGGCUUGUAUGUGCUGAUUGGAAGGCUCAGGGCAGCUUGAAGGAGCCAGUGCCAAACUGUCAGAGGCCCUAGUAAGGCAGUUCAUGGGGGGAACCCAUCUAGCAAUAUUUGGGGUGAGCCAGAGGGGGGGUUGGGAGUUGAGAAGGUAUACCAAAAGCAGGCCCCACUGGUCUGACAACAAGAACAGCUUGGGAGCGCUGCUGUGACUUUGAGAAGAGCAAAGACAGUCUAAUUUAUGAGAAGUCAUUGUUAGUCCCUGGAGAAGAGCAAAGAAUCAGAAGGUUGCUGUCUAGUAAUUUUAAUAUCCUUUCCCAGGUUAUUUGUUGCUAUUGGGCAGCUCAUUCUGCAUCAUGCCUAGCAGAGGAGCUACUCAGUUUCUAGAGCCACCCUGUAUCUGCCUGUGCUAUUGCCAUUUGUUUUGUCAGCAACCUUCUGAUAACAAGUUUCUGUAAAUGAAGCCCAGUGGUAGUGAGGGAAGAGACUGUGACAGAGGUUCUCCCAAUAAGACUAAUGGCAACUAUGUUUUCUAAUCUGGGGAGGAAUUUAUCCCCUUGUUAUGCUGGCAGAAAUGAAGGAAUUCUGUCAUUUGGGGAAAUAUUCCUAAUUUACAAUCUGUGUGAUAGACCAUGAUUGGUGCUUUCCUGCAGACACAGGUGGAAGUGCUAGGCAAGGGUGAUGAAUAAAACAUGGAAGCUAAGGUUUACUCUAUGUUUCUGAUAUGGCAAUUUGUUCAUAGUAUUUCCUGAAAAUUAAUUAAUACACAGGAAGCAAGCUGAUUCCUGAUUGUUCAUACAUAGUGCAAUGACAAGGUAGAAAUAAACAAAAUAAUUAGACAAGCUUCAUUGUUACGGGAAUGAGACUAACAUUUGUUUAUCAGUCUUUGAGGUAUACUCCUACCAUCCUGCAACUGGAAUUCACAGUUAAACAAAACCUAUAUUAAUCCCUCUAACACGGUAUUUGAUUGGUGUGUGCUGUGAGCCUUGAAUAGUUCCCAGCGUACGUGCUGCACGGACCACAGUGUCUGUCUGUACUGAAUCCACUGUAAUGAACUGCCUUGUUUUUUGUGAUCUGGUGCUGCGAACAAUAUAUAUUGGACUUUCCAAUUAUUUUUUUGCUAUUGUUUCUUUCUGUUGGUUAAGCCGUAAAAGUAGUCCCCCUGGCUUACAAUAUAAAAAAGAAUUGUGUUUAUUGUGCAAAAUAUGUUUGAUGCCCUGACCAUUGUUUUUUCAGCUCUGAACUAUUGUCCCUCUGUAAAGGCUGAGUAUCAUUAUCAUGGCACCAGAAAUAGAGAUAGACUCUCCUGACAGAAGGUAAAAUUCAUAGCCUAAGCAAUGAGCUUCACGGACAUCAACACAUAGAUUCAAUCUGCUGCUUGAAUCUGUUAGGAGGAAGUGCCUGGAAGGUUUUAACCACAGGACAGAGAGAGGUAAUGUCUUCUGUUUGGGAUUCAUGGAUGCAAAUCCAUGUGUCUGUGACAAAUCAGAUGGUCUCUUUUCUUUCAAGAAGAAGAGGAGACAGGAUGUUCUUUCUUCUUGUGUAACCAUGGAUUACCCACGGCAGUGAAGGAAACCAUGCACCAUUUAAAAUGUGUGUAUUGCAGAUGUCAGAAGUGAAGUGAGAUUGACGCUCUAGAUGGGGGAUUCAGUUAAGCAGGAGAAAGCAGCUGAGUAGGGGCUUUGUGAGUGCCAGUGCUACUGAUCCAGUGGAUUUGAGGUAGACAUGUGGAUUUUGCUGCCCUUGUAGUUUUAACCUAAAGGUCUAGCAAGAAGACCUCUGGUUCUGGCUGGUAUUUCUUGAUACUACCAGAAUAUGAAUAAUAAAUCUCAGUAAGAAUACACUACAAAUAUUAGCCCUUUUUAAUCAGUCAUGCCUGCUUCCUCCUCACUGGAAGAGUGAGGCAAUAAACUUCUGUCUUUGUAUCUUGACUUUGGGAGAGGUUAAGAAACAAAUAAAAGGCUAUAAAUUAGCAUAGCACCACUUCUGGUCACAUGGGAUUUUACAUUCAAGAACUGCAAAAGGCUGAAGCAACAACUAAGUAUGGCUUUGCAAACGUUCAAAUGCUGUAGUCAGACUUUUGAAGCAACUUUAGGAGAGGUCCUGAAGCCUGUUACUUUUGUUUGAGAUUAGUUUUCCUCCCAAAGAUGAAAGAUGUUAAAUGCUCAGUUGAAUGAUUUUGUAAAAUUCCCAGAUCUUAUUGUCCUUGUGGACAUUGCCACUAGUACCUAAGCUGUAUCCGAAGCUGUCAUUUUGAGUUUGGCCUUUGUAUGCCUUGUCUGUCCAUUUUACUGCUUGUGAUAACUCACAGUUUUUCCAUUGACUCAUUUGCUUUUAGACCUUCCAACUGUGAGCUUAUGAAGUUGCAAUCUGCAGCUGAAAGAUAACCAUAACUGGUUAGAAAAUGCAAAAUGUGCCUUAGAGGCACCAAAUCUUGGGGUGACUGUUAAGCAGAAACUAGGCCACUUUACAUGCAGCGACUGCAGGUUUUAACAUGUUCCAGUGCUACAAACUACUGCUGCUGAAGUAAGAAAUUGCCAGUGCAUCGGGACCUUCUUGCUGCAAAUCCUUAUCCCUAAAAACUGUUGUCACAGAAAGAAUGGAUACUGUGCACACAAGCUGCUAAACUGUGCUUCCCUCCUUCAGGGGUGGUGGUCCCGUCCUGUGUUUGCUACUGAGAUAGGCUUUAGGUCAGCUCUGUGCGCUGCAGAUUUCUUCUGUUGUUGUGUGGGUGGUGUGGAAACUGAAAAAGCAGUAAGAUAAACCACUGCUUUUUCUAAUUUCAUUUUUUUCAGUUUGUGUGAAUGCCUUUAUUUAGUAGGAUCAAACACACAUAAAGUAGAUGCUACAAUCCUGUGUUCAAUUUUGUUUUGUUAAAUGUUAACUCUUUGGAGUGGAGCCUGUGUUCUCCUGUGUUUUAUAAAUCCCCAUGUACCUUCAGUGAUGUAGAAAUUCUUAGUCGUAGUGGAAGAGGAAACUAAAAAAACGUCAUGAGAAGAUCUAUGCAUCUGGAAGCACUAAAUCUAGUGAAAGGAUUUCUGAAAGCUCCCAAGUCCAUUAACAUUUCUAAUGGCUAGAGUUAUUGUUCUUGCACAACAUGGGUUUAAGCUGAUCUUUUCCAGUGUUCUCAUUCCAAAAUGAAUCAUCUUUGGAGGUUUAAAGACAAAUGUAUUGUUUUCAGGCAGGGGUCUAAAUAUCUCAAACACAAUUAUACACACAUAGAUAAAUCUAUUUAUAGCUGGCUAUGGAUCAGUUUCAUUUUUUCUGUUUUGUGUGUUUGUUACUUUUUGCAGCUGCAAAAAUGUUGGCCUGAUACAAAGGAACUUGCUUCUUAAUAAUCUUAAGACAUAUUCAAAUUGUAAACAGGCAGCAGUGCACUUUAAAACUUUGUAAUUAGCUAAAGCUUUACUGAGCUUAAGAGGUGCAUGCUUAUCUAGUCCAAGGAAGGCUGCCCUUCCCCUCUCCUUGUCUUCCAAGGUAAGGUGAUUCUACUGGAGAAAACAGUCAUAACAUCUCCUGCUGGAGCUUGGUAUAAAGUAUGAGAGACCCAUGAACUGUAGAGUUUGCUUUACGAUUGGGUUGAUUACAUCUUCCUGUAGAUCCGAAGUCCUUUAAAGAACUUUAGGAAAUGCUGUGCAAUAUGGUCUUCUGAAGAUGGCUUUGUCUCUAUUGGAAAUGCAAUUCUCUUUCGUUUGGGCAUGUGGAAGGAGUAAGUUGCAGCAUGCUUGUGUGUUAGACACAUAUGUCUGUCCCUGGGAUUGAUUGUAAAUGCGAAAUAGUAAAGAACAAUACUCUUUCAAGAGUGCUGAGAGAUCUGUAUGAAAUAGACCAGCUGUCUUUUCUGAGAUAUGUAGGUAUACCACAAAAGUAUGUAUAGUACGUGAAAAAAAUACUCUGUCAGGAAGCUCUACAUUUUGACACCACUCUGUAGACAUAAUGUCAUAUGAAGGAUUACAUUUAUUUAGGCUUUCUUUGAUCUCAUUGUGUCACAGAGCAACCCACAGGUCAAUUUUAGGGACCACAAGGUCCAAAAACAACUUUUAUUAGACCAGCGAGGCACAGGGUUUUAGCACUCCAAAUGUGACUUAAAUACAGGUUCGGAUAUCAGUGGAGGAAAUUAUUGAGAGGGGCAGCCACUAAUACAACAGGAGGUCCACAGAGUGCAUGCACGUGGCUUCACCAAAACAGUGCCGGAGCCGUCCCCGAGUCCCGGAGGAGUACACACUUGCCUAAGCACGGUGUGGGAUUAUUUUAUAGAGAUACACGUACUCGCAGUGAGUACGGAAAGUGUGCACUCGCGAUUCCGCGAGAGUAAAUUUAUAAUACGCUCGCAGUCCUGCGAGAGUUAUUUUACACGUGCAAAUGUGCACGGAAUCCUACACGUGCUUAUGUGGAAGCACGGGAGGAAAAUAUACUCGCGAUUGUGCGAGGGGCUCUCGGCGGCCACUCGCGAUUGUGCGAGGAAAUAAAGUACUUGUGCAAGUGUGCACGGAAAGAAAAUAUACUCGCAAUCCUGCGAGAAGUUUUACUUACACCGUGGCGGCGAGGCAAGCGGAGUCUCCAUCCCGGGGAGGGGGGCUCUCGUGGCGGCAGUGGCUAAGCUCGUGCUCCAAGAGACCCGCGGCAAUGGGCGGAGUCUCGACGAGAGUCCCGUUUUGUUAUCUGAUCAGACCUGACUGUAGGCAUUGUAUAAGCUUCUCUGCACCCCCCACACUGAGUGUGGGUGCCCCUGAAGCCCUCAAACAUCCCCCACACUGGGCGCGGCCCAGUGUGCCUUGGCACUCCCUUCUGCUAAUGUCCCAGGAGCCAGGGUGCUCUGGGCCAGACAAAAGAAGCUGUUAGCCUCAAAUAGCAGAGGAAGAGAGAGAAGUGCCAUGCUGCAAAGGAGGGGGAAUUGCAGUCUGUCACACAUUGAUACUAGUAUUUUUUUUGUAGCCCGAGAUGAAAUACCUUCUAACAUAUUUUGCAGUUGCAUUUAGUCUAUCCUCUGGUCUGUGUAUACUGAAUUUUUAGGCUUACAAUUUGCAAAGCAACAAAUUCUCCCUACUGAAAGAAUCCCUUAUGUAAUGGUAAAUACAGUGUUACUAGCAUAUAAUUAUAUAUGCAUCCAAUGGCUUUGAGGGCAAAACUUUCAUUGACUUUGAUGUUAGUGAGCUAAGUUCCUUUGUGAUAACUCAAUUGUGGAGUGAUUUUAUGUUAAGUUAGGAGAGCUUUGAAUUUGGCUGUUCAGAAGUGAUGGAUUAAAUCAAAACCCAGUUGUUGAUGGUGAGUAGCAACUGAGAUAAUAAAACAAAAUGUCUUUUAAAAUAACAUGAAACAAAAAAUGAAAUUAUUUAAAAAUGCUAUUUCAUAUUUGCUCUUCUCACUUUUGAGUGGCAGUUAGUUGCCUACUACUGUCUGUGAAGCUUAGGAUGAGGCUGCAAGUUUAAAAGUCACACAGAAUCACAGAAUGUUAGUGAUUGGAAGGGACCUUGAAAAACCAUCAAGUCAAAUCCCCUCACCUCCUUUUCUCCAGGCUAAACAGCCCUAGUUGCCUCAACUGCUCCUCAUCAGACUUAUGCUCCAAGCACCUCAAUCAGCUUCGUUGCCCUUCUCUGAACUCAAUCCAGCACCUCAAUGUCUCUCUUGUAGUGAGGGGCUCAAAACUCAACAAAGGGUUUGAGGUGGGGCCUCACCAGCCAAGUACAGGGGGACAAUCACUUCCCUAGUCCUGCUGGCCACACUAUUUCUGGUACAAACCAGGAUGCUGUUUGCCUUCUUGGCCACCUGGGCACACUGCUGGCUCAUGUUCAGCUGGCUGUCAAUCAACACCCCCAGAUUCCUCUACGCCAGGCAGCUUUCCAGCCACUCUUCCUUGAGCCUGUAGUGCUGUCUGGGGUUGUUGUGACCCAAGUGCAGGACCCAGCACUUGGUCUUGUUGAACGUCAUACAAUUGGCCUCAGCCCAUUGAUCUUGCUGGUCCAGAUCCCUCUGUAGCACCUUCCUAGCCUCCAGCAGAUCUACACUCCCACCCAACUUCUUGUUGUCUGCAAAACAUGUUAAGCACAUCAUUGAUGCAUACUUGGAUGUCAGGUUUACAAGAGACAAAUGCUUGUGUUCUCCAGGCUCUGCUCUGCCCUUGCUGCAUGGAUGUAUGCGACACUGCCGAUAAACUUAUGAACUGCUGCACUGUAUAGAGCAUGAUGUUUGUUGCAGGGUAAUCUUACCAGAUUUUUUCUUGCCUUUGAAGAGUAGGCUACAAACUGUGUUGUUUUAGGGGCUGAUUGGUGAGCAGUGUGAUUGAGACACAUAGACUUGCAAAUCUGUGCCCUCCUGCGGGAUGUGUUUCUUGAUGUUUGAAUUUACAGAGACUGGUUAUAUGUCUAGGAGUGCCCAUAAAGUAACUGGAUAUUGGAAGCAGGGAGGGGAGGCUCUUCUUCCUCCACAGUUUCUCAUGUCAGAGGGACAUGUUUCUGUGGGGCAAAAUAUAGUCCAAAAUAUGCUUUCACUUCCUACCGCUAGGCUGUUACCACCUCUCCUGAGCUGGUAAUCUGCUUUGUUUUCACUGAGGCUUUCUGGCUGUGGUAUUCCAUCUUUAGGAACCAGAAAAACAUGUGGCACUGCAGAGGAGUGAGACAUGAGGGUUUGAGAGUAAGUGGUACAUUUCUCUUUGUAUAAAUAAGUGAAGGACACCAUUCCCAGAGCUGGAGGAGCAGAUGGGUGGGAAAUGAGAGUGGCAGGAAAAAGAUCAAACUUCGCCUCUUCAAGAAGAUGAGAAACCGUACCAGCAUGACUAGAAAAAUCAUCCAGGGAAAAGAAAUCCCAUCUCAGAUGCUCUCAAUUUUGGGGUGUCUUUUACCAAUGUGAUUAUGACAUGAAAGAUUUUUUCCAUGCCAAUACGUGCAUGAAAACUUGUUAUCUCAAAUGCUUAGAGAACUGUGGUUUGUCUAUAUUAAGCCAAAGGGAAGGACAAACAAUGAAGAGGCUGGGCAACCAUCCCAAAAGGGUCAAGGAGAGAGAAUUUAGGAGUUUCUCAGCAGGUUUCUUUAGCUCACUUUGUGAGACCAGUUGUAGAGAAGUUUCUGGUUUGUUCUUACAGACUGUAACACAAUGCAGCCUUCAACAGACAAGUCUAUGGAUGGGCUUUAUCUGCCAGCCCUGAGUAUUUAGGAUCCGAUGUGAUAAAUCCAGGAGCUGUGAUGGGCUCAAUAAUAGAGAAAACCUGUGUGAAUGACAGACUACUGAGACUCUUAGAAUUUUUAUCAGUGACAUGGUACUUGUGUUUGUAAAUAUUUUUCUGCUAAUUUUUUAUUAAAAAAAAUAUUGUAAUAGUGACUGUAAAAUAAGAUUUGUCUGGUGACUAAUGAUGUACUUUUGUCUUGGUGUUAGGGUUUUUUACUGCUGUGUUGCAUUGGCAGAUAGGAAAAAAAUGUUGCUGGAAUUUACUGGAGUUAUCUACAAAUAUCUGGCAAACUUUGGCUGUCUUUAGCCUACUCUUUAAAUACUACUUCAAUGUUGGGAUCACUGGAUCCAUUCAGUAUUGGGCAGUGAAACUACAGACAACACAGAUACUUCAAGGGGUAUUUAAUCUCUGGCUAUAUCUAAUUAUUAAUUUUAGUAAUUUCUUCAAGGUCUGCCACAAGAGACACAGACCUGAACUCUGUCCUUAGGUGCUUGUUUCUAGAAGGAUAAAAGUUAGAUGAAAGCAUGCCAAGAGACAGAAAAGGUAAUGAUAACUUAAGACAUGUAAAAUAUAUUUUAGAGUGAGUACCACAUUGUUGUUUUAUUAUUUGAGAUACCCUAAAUUUUCCUUCGCACUGAACAAGUAAUAUUUAAUAGAUGUAAAUUAAAUCAAUGAAAUAGAGGUUUCUAAUGUAAUCUUCAUUAUGAAAUAUGAUUUUAUUUGCUUGCUGAUCAUCAUAGGUUUUCAAUAUGUGUUGGAGAAACAAGUGCAUGCAUGCUGGAUUUGUUAAGAAACCAUUUUCUAGAACAAGAUUUAGUAGGAUAAUUGGGUGGAUAGCAUUGACUGAUCAUACAAACAGAUGCCAAACCACAGCUACUUUUGAUACAAAUAUGUCAUUGCAGGAGAAGUAGCUGUAGAGCAAAUUUGCAAGCAUUAAUAAAAUUUAUUAAACUUCUGAUACAUUUUAAAGCUUAUGGGAAGGAAAAAUAAUAUAUUUCCUCAUUGUUUUAUGGCACAGUCUGAAGCGGUAUCAAUCCCAAAGUGAAAUUUCACCCAGAGACAGUUAAAUAUGAUUUAUUAUAUUUGUCACAAAAUCUUUAUAUGAGACAAAAUAAUUCACAUAGUUAUUAAUUAAUUUAUCAUACACCCUCUUGGUUCAUUGCCCUAUAAUUAAAGUUGGAAUAUGUCGUUUGUAAAUUUAGCCUCUUUCCACAUUGUAACGGAAUGUGCCUAAGACAAGAAUCACAUUGAGGUAGCAAUAAUGAACAUUUCUGGAAAGAAAGAAAUGUGGUGCUUUGACUUAGAUUUAUCCUGUCUAAUAUUAGACAUACUUCUAAGCAAACUUUGGUAACUCUGUGAAUCAUAUUAUUUUAUGCAUCAUCAUCUUUUUUUUUGCAGUCUCACAGCAGCGGCGUGCAACUGUGACAACUAUUCAGAGAGAACAAUGUAGACUAGUACUUAGUAUAUUCUUGGCAUAUUUAAGUCAUGUAUUACAUUGGCAUUUUCUAAAAACUAUAAAUCUUACUGUAUACCUUUCCAUUAAAUGCCUCCACCUUCUUGUUUUGAGGUGUACAUCUAUUAACAAGGAAAAGAGCUAGAAUCAUGUGGUCAACCAGCUCCUUAUAGGUUAGUAAUAAGUGUUUGGCCAACACUUAGGGGUCUACAGAGGAGGACUGGCUUGCCUCUAAAUACUUUUCUCCAAAAAAAAAAAAAAUUGAAGAUCCCUGAAUCAAAAUGUCUCUGAGAAAGAGAUGAGCUUGUAGUUUAUGGCAAUUACUCUUCCUUGCUUUUUUAUUUUUCCUGUAGCCUUGCUAAUAAAGCCCGUGAAAAAUGGGCCAUUGGCCAUUACUGGUCAUUUAAAAACCCUACAUUCCAAAUUAAAAUUAGAAUUAUAUGUUUAAUGAGAUAUAAGAAACUUCGUAGCUUCUUUUAGCAGAAGACGUGUAAUAACAUGUGAGAGCUUAAUUAACUUACCUAGUGUUUAGUAAGUAGGAAAAUAGUUGUAGGUAUUUUCUUUGUGAACAGAGCUGUUUACCCAUUUGUUUACAGGAAAUUAGUUUAAAAGCCAAUUUUUUCAUAGGCUUUAUAACUAAUGCAUUUAAGGAUAAACAUAUUAAGAAAAGAAAGGGCAAAAGUGUGUGAAUGGCUGAAGUUCAAGAAUGUGAAAGGUGAUUUGUGGAAGAAGUCUACAGUCCUUGGAGUGUUGGUGUCGUUGAGCCUACUUCCUAAAGGAACAAAAAGCAGAGCAACUGCUGUAGUCUGAAAAUCCAAAUCCCAUACUGUGUAAAUGUAGGAGUAGUUACAUUUGUACAGUCCUACAAUUACAUUUGGCCCUUUGAAAGCAACUGUGAGGCUGAUGUGGCCCCCAGUGAAAAUAAGAUUGGCACCCCUGCUAGGAAUCAAACUGGAAUCUGUUUUUUCCAAAAAGCAAGAGAUGCCACAUUGCAUACUGUCAGAACACAGCAUGAACAACUGAUAAUGAGAAGUCUAAUCUCUGUGAUGCACACAUAAUUGGUAAAUGAUCAUUUGAACUGAUUUGGGAAUGACUUUAAGAAAAAGCUAGUGUUUUUGAUAUUGAUUUUUUUUUUCUUUAUCUUUUUUGUUUUUUAAAGUAAAGGCAUGGUCCAUUGAGGUAUACAGGCUUUAAAAGCUGACAUUCUUCUCUGUGUAUUGCCAGUCUUGUUUCAGUAAAAUUGCAGUGUUUUCUAGUCUAUAAUGGGGUAUCUUGGGAAAGGUACUACGGAACAGAGAGACUUGUGGCAUCUCUCAUGCUGUAGAAGUGCUCAUUGCUGCUAAAAGGCAUGUGUUUUGAAGGAAGAAUGCAAACUAAAAAUAAUGGAAAUUGGACUGUGAACACUUUGAAAAAUGGUGAAAAAGCCCCUAAUAGAAAGAGAAUAAAUGAAAGAGAUUAACAGAAAGCACAUAAUAGUGGUAUCUGUGUUGUCCUGGUCAACUUUGAGGCUUUUGUUCUGCUGUGGGUCUAUUAGGAAACAGAAGACAGCUUUGGAGAUAGAUUUUCUGCUAGGUGGCAUAAAAAUAUCAGGUUCAAUCCAAAAUUAGUGUAUAUUCAGCUCUCCAGUUCAGCAAAAAAUUGCUUAGUUGACCUUCCUUUGAAUUAAAGUGGAAAAGUUCCAUUGCAUCAUUGACACUAUUGACAACUCUUCUCCCUUGGCUGGUAAGUUGCCUGGUUGAGCACUUUCUUCCAAUGAAAAAGUAUGUGUAAUCCAGUUUUUGAACAGCCCUAAAUGUUUUCCUUUUCUAAACCUUUAAGUAGUAACUAUUUUUUUUUUUUUUUUUUGUAAUAUGCUUUAGUGUUACUGGUAACGUUAAAAAAACAUGAUUCUUGAACACUGUAAAAUAAUUCAGCCCUUUAACAUGUAUGAAAAUAUCAACCAUAAAGUAUAAUUUUGACUAGCACAAGUGUUCCACAAAGAAAUAAUAAAAAUUAAAAUAAAAUAAAAAGCUAUAGGAAAAAGCGGCUUUUUUAAAAGAAAAUUAAAAUUAUUUAGAAGAAUACUUAUAUAUUAAUGGAGCAGAGGGAGACAAGUCUAUUCUUGCACCUCAGAAAGUCUCAUAUUGAUGUGGAGAAUACAUUUUUAGGAUUACUCCCUAUUUGUAAUAGUUAUAAUCACAGUAGUUUCUUUGUCGUGCUUUGACAGUACUGACACUAUAUGGUGUGUCUCAUCUUCACAGUCCAAUUGGUGAUGUUUUUGGAACUUAGUACUUACUGAUGAUUACUUCAGUGACUCAGAAAAUGUAAGGGCUAAAUUUUACUCAUCAGGUUUUCCACUACAAACACAAAGAUCCAUCUGUAAAUGCGUGAGUCAGCUUUUGCCAUUUUACCUUCUUAGAAGGUUAAGUUCAUCCUGUUUCUUGAUGAUAAUAUUUUGUACAUUAUGACAAUAUGUUGCAAAAUAAGGACACAAAGUGUCUUCCUAUUCAGCUCAUGCACUCUCAAAGAGAAGAAUAUUUUUAUUGGUAGCAAUAGUUUCAUCUGUUUUCACUGGGUAGAAAAAGGAAACCUGCCUUUGUCCUUGUGUUAUUUUUUUCCUUUGUUUUUGAGAGACAACAUUUUCAAGUAUUUUGACACUUUAUUAUCAAAUAAGGAAGACUCAGCAAUCUAUCCUUAGCUGUCUGCCCAAGAAUAGUCUUGCAAUGAAAGACUUUGUGAGGGUCCCCAUUUGUGUGGAUAUUCCUGGUCAAAACAACCCAUCCAAUCUAACUUGCAUGUUACAAUCACUCUUAUACUGCCAUUUGAAAACCCCACAGGAAUAAUAUUGUCAUUUCUGUUUUUUGCAGUUUGCAUAGUUUCCUCUUCAAAAAAGCUGACCAAAACAACCAGAGAGACUUACUUUUUAAAUAACUGUAUUUUCAGUGGUAUAAUGCUGAAAUGGGAAAGAUUAUGUACUUUAUGUAUUUAUACAGCGAUUAUCUACCAAACCAUUGUAUUUGGUUUCUUUAUCUUUUCUCAUCAAACUGUGUGAAAAUUCAAUGAAAUGGCAAAUAUAAUCAUACUUUCAUGUAAUCAUGAAAUUAAAAAACAAGCAAAGAAGUUUUGCAGCAUUGUCUGAAAUCUCACAUUUUCUAAAGCUUGACUCUCCAGGCACCCUGUUGACUGCUCAUCAAAGAGAUUUUCUUCCAUCUGUGUGCUUCCUUUGUAACUACUCAUUCACCAUAGAAUUUUAAUGCAAAAUGCAGCUGAAAUUUUAUAUGUAAUCAUAGAGAAAACCAAGGCUACACUGAUUUUGUAUAUUGCUCAAGCUGAGUGUCUGUGUCUUGACAACAAACACAUUAUUUGUCAGUCAGGCAACAGACUUUGCUGUCCCGGUUUUCUCAUACUGACAUCCCAACAGCUUCCCCACCCUUUUACAGUGCCCACUGUCUUACUGGACUAAGUCAGGACCUAUCUGUUUCCAUUCUCCUUGUUCACACCCUACCCUUAAUUUCCUUGCAAAGUGUCCCAGCAUCUAUCCUGGAAUUUGGAAGCAGAGUCUGACAUCCAUUCCUGUAAUUGUGCUCAUAUCAAGGAGAGUCUGAAUCGACCUCUGUACUGAACAUAAAGAAGCCCACUCCCAAGACCUGUGAGCAUACACUUAACAGGAGCUGGAAGCCAGUUACAAAUAUCCCUCCCCUGGUCUUCGAGGUGAGAUGUGUACCUUUGAAGUUAGGGAGCUUCCUGAGCUGGAGGUGACUUUACAGCAUAAGAACUUCCUCACUGCCUUCCACCUAGGCUCCUUUUCCUUUAAAUUUUCCUCUAAGAGUGGUUUCAUGUGAGUUAUCUUCACACACUUCCAAAGCAGAUGUUAAAGGGCAUAAGCAGCGUAAGCCAGGGAAAUGCAGCUGAGAGUAAGUAGGGGUUUGAAUGUCUAAAAUAGCACUGGCUCAAGAAAGGGAGGAAGUUAUGACUGCAGAUGGUAACGAUGCAUUUUUCAAGGCAAUAAUAUUCUCUCUGUGUCUGGAAAUUCGGUGACCUCCUGGACAUACCGUUCAAGACUUUCUUUGAAAUGACUGUAAAAUGCUUUUUUUUUUUGCAAGAUUCGUCAUGAAAAAUACCUCUGGGGCUCUCUUGAAGACCACUUGACAGAUGAUAGAGCUGCUACUAGCAGAUGAGCCUGAGGACACAAACUCAAAUAAUAUGGAUUCUUGGACCAGAUCAUUCAGCUGAAAGAGAAACAAGGAGUCCAUCUCUUCUUCCACAUCUACACAUACACUGUGCCCAGGAGGGGCUUGGAGAGGAAGUGGAAGAGUCUGUAAGGCUUUUGAACCAUCAGCCAGGAGACAUCCUCAGAAGUCGAUUGACACCUUGGCAAUGUGCAUGGGAGAGAUGUUGGGGAGCAGGGGAGCCCUCCAAAGGAGCUGCUGCUCUUGCUAUGGAGAGCCCUGGGUAACUCAGAAGUAGAAUAUUAUGUAUUGUGAGCUGGAAGGCAGCAUCGCCAGUGUGACAGUUCACUCAGCAGCAUGACUGUCCUGCCAAACGAAGGGAAUAAUACACCAGUGCUGAGAGUCAUGAUGUGCAGAUCAUGUUGUAUUACCACUCUUGGAGCUCAGUGUCCUUCCACACCAUGGGCUGUUUGGGGUCUCAAGGUACAAUGGUAACUUGACUGCUUUACUUAUGCAAAGUGCUCAGAGCCUACAUGGGAAGGUGACCCAGGGAGAAGCCUCUCUGUUGUCCUUGAAGGGGUUGUGAAUUUCUGUGGGGAAAAGGACAGAGUCUAGCGUUUGUUUUUUCUUUUUUUCACAGAAACAUCACCUUUAUGAUCCUCACUUUGCAGCACAGAGAAACAGUAGUACAGUAUGAUGAAUACAGUGGAAGAGGUGGUGUUCUUCAAGGAGCAAAAUACGUGGGAAACAUCCUGCUGUAUCUAACAAAGGAGUUUGUCAGUUUUUGAUUUUUAAAACUCUUUCUUGGUAGAAUUGCUUGCAGGUCUGAUUAAACAAUAUCUAACUGAUACACACCCUGAUAGAUGACCCCUCUGUAAGACACCUCCUUGCAGAUAAAAUGCACACUUUUUAUUUUUUCUUUUUAGGCAAUUAUUCUCAUGCUGUCUGCCUAGUCCUGAACUGAGUUCUGGGUGAAUUCUCUAAUGGACAAAACAUAAAUCACCUUAAUAACUGAGCAAUCCAUCACCAACACAAAGGGUGCCUUAGCUCCUGCACUUAGUGACACAGUGAAGUUGUAGAAAGCUCUGAACAAAGCUGGUGUGGGUUUGGGCACAUGGAGGAGGAAGGAUGUGAGUUGGGAGCUGCGCUGACAGAUCACUCAUCCAGAUUUCCAUUCAGAGGUGUAAGAGACUUCAAUAAUUAUUCUACGAGCAAGGUUCCAGAAUACCUGAUGGUCCUGUGCUUGGUUUUGGUAUUUUGAUGAAAAUACUGUCUUGACAUAUAAUGAAAAAAACCCAAAAUUUCUGAAGCUGCAGGAUUCAUUUUUUUGAGUCAUCUCCUACAGUGUUGUAAAGAACAGUGGACAAAGCUGUGCCAGUAUAGCUGCGCAGACAUCAGUAGGUUGGCAGCAUUCAUUGGUUUGGGGAGUUUAAUGCUAGUCCAGGUGUUUCAAAUUCUACCUGAGAAGUGCUCUAUUGCAUUCCCCUGCUGUUUUUCUCCAAUAGUUCUUGCUGAAGAACAGGAAUGUUCUCAUAUUACUUACUUGUAAUAGUAUGCUCAUCUUUUAUAUGAAUUAAAAAUUGCUACAUACUGGGUUACAAUUUCUUUUUAAUAGAACUUCCUGUAUAUAUUGGUUUCUAGACACAAGUGCCCUCCAAAGUCAUGGACCUCUGUUGUUUGUACUUGAAUAAUGAUUUUUGCUUCUGGAUACCUCAGGUAGAUACCAGCAAUAUAAAUGUUCCAAGUGUUAUACACUUCUCUAUUGACUACCUAUCUGAAAUUGCUCAGGAUUAACUACGUUAAAAACAGCACCAGCAUGAACACAGGGAGACCUGCCCUGGCAUAAGGGAUAGUUUGAAAUUUUCCCCCUCACCCCCAGGCUGGAGAUUUGAUCUGUUAAAAUGUGAAAGACUGUGGAAUUUUCUUUGAGAAAAAGCAUUCACUUUUGAAGAAUUUUUAGGCAUUUUAUGUUGUAAUACACAAGAGGGUUUUUUUGCAUGCCAUGAUCCUGAAUAUUGAAGGUACAGUAACAGUUUGGAACUAGAUUUCAGUUUUUAUGUAUAAAACCUGAUUUUAUUUGGUGCUUCUUCAGAUUGCCCGAGGAAAAUGCUGCCACUCUUCGAGCACUCCUACCGCUAUCUCUUGGGCUGGUGACAAAGGCUGUUAGAGCUCAGCUCAGCCUAUUCCUGGUAACUGGCAGUGAGCAGUAAGUGAACCUCAGCUGGAUUGGCAGCCCUUUCUGCGGUGCAGAGUGGGAGGAGGAUCUUGCACUGUCCCCACUUCAUUGGUUCUUCUUACUUAAUUAGUAAUCUGGAAACCAUUCUAGGAACCUACAGCCCUUUCAGCCCUGUAAAUGGAAACAUUACAGCAGGAAGCUCCCUGUUGUUCAGAUGUGAUGCAGAAGCUAGGUGUUGGGUGCAUACUUGAGGAUUUCAAAGAAUCGAGGUGGGAAUGGACCUCUUAAUAUCCUGUAGUCUAAUCUUCUGGCUCAAUGACAGGUCAACUAGAGCAAGUUGAUCAGGACUGUGUCCAGCCGGCGUUUGAAUCACUUCAAGGAUGGAGACUCCACAGCCUCUCUGGGCAACCUGUGCCACUACUCAGUCUCCCUCACAGUAAAAAAGUGUUUUCUUGUGUUCAGACUGAAUUCAUUUUUUUCAUUUUGUGCCCAUUGCCUUUUGUUUUCUCAGUGAGCACCAGUGAGAAGUGUCUAUGUCUCUCAUCUCCACUCAUCUUCAUCUUCCUUCCCUCCAAUCAGCUAUUGAUGCACAUUGAUAAGAUCCCUGGGAGCCUUCUCCUCUCCAGGCUGUACAAGUGAUGCUCUAGUCCUGUAACCAUCUGAGCGGCCCUGCACUGGGCUUGCUUCAGUAUGUCCAUCUCCCUCUUGUCCAGAACUGGACACAACACUCCAGAUGUGGCAUCACCAGUGCUGAGUAGAGGGAAGGGUCAUUCCCUUGACCUGCUGGUGAUGGUUUUUCUCGGGAAACCCAGAAGACUGUUGGUUUCCUUUGCUCUGAGGGUGCAUUAAAUUUGUUGUUUCAUACUUGAAAAACAGCACCAGCAUGGGCACAGGGAGACCUGCCCAGUAGUCAGUCCUCUGACCAGCUGUUGAGAAAGCUGUUCCACAGACCUGAAAGCGUAUUCUGGAGAAUGAGCUGAUUUCCAAAAGCAGUAGGGCUUACACUCAUUCAUCUUGCUGUCAGGACACUCGACGCACCACAGAAAGCAACUCAGCAAGCUGAAUAAAAGCCCCAGGUGGCAAAGCUUGAGAAAUGAGUUAAAUAUAACUCUGUGAAAGAGCUCUAAUGGUUUUGGAAAAUAGGACUGUUAUGUUAGCCUGAGACAUGAUUAUGUCUGUUUUCUCCUUUUUUGGUGGAUGUCUAUGAGACAAAAUAUAUAUUCUUCAUUUAAAAAUGUUAAGAAAGAAAACCAUACAUGUAGAAGCAGAUUGCUUUUCUUGGCAACAAAUAAACUCAGGAUUCUCAUUCUCUGCAAGUCAAUCAUGCACACAUUUACAGAUGUAUUGUCAUUACUCACUUGAGCAUUUGUCCAUCAACUAUAGAAAUAUAGAACUUCUGUUGCAUGAAUGCCUCUGUCCUCACACACUUCCCUGCUCCCUGGGAUCAGAAGUAUAAGCCUUCUAACAUUGCUGCUUAUUUGAUGAAAGAAAAAAUUAGCAGAGUAAAACGUACUAACCCUUUCUUAUCUUAAAAAUUUGGCAAGAGAUCUUUACAUUCUGAAGGGGACUAUUUGGGACCCCUUGCAACAGAAUUAAUGGAGUGUGGGCCUUCUGCAAUUUCAGGGCACUGCUGCCAAGUUCAGCUUGAAAGAAACUUCACUUGCCUGUGUAAUACUUUUGCUUCUGUAAUUUUUUUUUCAAGUUAAUAUAAUAUAUAUCAUGUUUCCUCACUGCCAUACAAAGAUCUCAGCAAGAUUUUUGGAGGCUUUUGGUAUACAAGCUGACGUGACACUUUUAUAAAAUGAACAAAUGUUUCAUUUUUUUAGAUAACCUCAAGCUGCAGCCACUAUAACUCAAGAUAUAACUAAUCUUUUAGCUGUUUCUAGCUAUGGCCUCCAUCAGUAAUUAUGAUACAUACAGGAAUUUUAAAAUUUCCCAAAUCUUCUAUUACUUAAAGUUAGAUUACUGAGCAGGAGGGGUGUAGUAGAAUUUUUAAGAUGUGCUUUAACAUAAAAAAAUGUUUAAGAGAAAAAAAAAUAGAAAAAAUAGAAAAAAUACUUAAGGGAAAAAGAACGUGUAGGAAAAAAAGUAAUGACUGCCACAACAGGGCAGCUGAGAAAUAAUUUAUACAUAAUUUUUGCUGGUGAGAUUAUGUUUGUUUAAGAACCUGAUUUGUCCUAAUGUGGUCCAGACUUCUCUGAGCAACUAAAAGCAUGAUGCAGUCAUACAGAAAUGCAGCUAAAUACAGAGCCUUUUUUCAGAGGCUUAGUUUGUGUUAAAGCAUUAUAAAAACAGUUAAAGUUUUCCAUGUGACCUGACUGACUAGUCUUAAAAUGUCAUCCUUUAACUCAUUUCUCAGCCCAGAGGGACUGAUUUGUGCUGAGGGAUGGAUAUGUGCUUGGAAGACAAAAAGAGCCCACCAUGGGAAAAACCUUACAGAGCACCGGACAGGAGAAGGGUGAACAGGUCAACACCCCACAUUUCAUAGAAACAUGGAAACAUAAGCAUAGACUAGUUUGGGUUGGAAGGAGCAUUUAAAGGUUAGCUAUUCCAACACCCCUUUCAAGUCAGCCGUCAGUUUAUUGGUGAAAAUAGCCUGCAGAGUACGAGAAAUGAUUUGAUAUUGAUAACAUAUAGUUGAUGUACAACCUUCAGCAAAGUCUGGUCUGUUCUUAUUUUAAGGGUUUAAGGGGUGGGAACUUUGGUUGUCUAUAGGCAAAUAAUAGCUGGUUUAGAAUCAGAAAGGCAAAAGUGAGAAAACUCAGGGGUCAAGAUAAAGAGAGUUUGGUAAGCGAACGGGAAAAAAAAAGAAGCGAUGCAAAGGCAAUCACAGCAGACUGAUGACUAAAGAGUCUCCGAGGAACUGUGGCCUUGGAAAAACUACCCCCCAGCUUUAUUGCUGAAAACUACGUUCUAUCCUACGGAGUAUCUCUUCGGUUAGUUUGGGCCAUCUGUCCUGACUUUGUCUCCUUGCAGGCUCUUCUCCACUCCUAACUUACUGACAGUGGGAGCAGAGUGGGAAACAGAGGAGGCCUUGAUGCUGUGCAAGCACUGUCCACCAAUAGCCAAAAUAUGAUUGUUUUAUCAACACUGUUUUGGUUACAAAUCUAAACCCAAGCACAAUGCAGAAUGCUAUGAAGAAAAGUAACUCCAGCCCAACCAGACCCAGUACACUGUGCUAAACAAGACUGUCAGUUAAAACUAGUACACAGGAUGGAGGAAAGGCCUGACCAUGCUGAAACAACAUGGCCAGAAGGAAAUUCUUGGCAUUGUGUCACACACUUGGAUGUGUCAAAAUACUUAGGUUCUCUUGUAGAUUAAUUUGGAAUAGCAUUUUCUACACUACUGAAGGUGGGAUUCCUGCUUUUAUAACAACUUGUGGAACACAGUCCUUAGCCUUUCUCUGCAUUUCACUAAUAUUUGAGUCCACAAAAGAUGUAUUUUCAAAAACUCUUUACUGGUGGAAGAAUUGCUCCACUGGUAGAGGCGAAAGUUACUGCUCUUCAUCAUGUUAAGUGUAGAUUUAAAUACAGUGGGGGACCCACUGUAGCCAGAUCAGUUUUUGUUUUUCUUGUAGGUCUAAUAAGAAGUUCAGUUAGUUGUCCGUUCUGCAAUCACAGGUGGUAAGUUUGCUUUUGUGCAGCAUCAAUGCUUGGUCAGUGGUUUGGACUGGUUCUGAUAGAAGUUUAAGUAUCUGCUUGGUGGUGAAGUGUUUAUUUUGAAGUAACACAAUGAAGCAAAAGACCAAACAGCUCCUAGAAAUCUUUGACAAUGUGAAAUUUCUGUAAUGUCUACCUGUCUUCUACUUUUGUAACUGGAAAUUGUUGCCUAUGUCCAUCCUCAAUCCUUGUGAGGCCCUGCUACAGGUUGGUAAUGGGGACAUCCAGAACCCAUCCUCAUCCCAUCCUCAGAGGCCUUGAAACUCUUCCCUACACUGGCAGUUGGGUUGAUGCUAUGGAGAGUGUGGGAUCCCAAUGGGGGCAAUCCAGUUCUUGGGGAGCGAAAGAAAUUUCUCCUGAUGGCCAGGUAGGUGGUGCAGUCUAAGAGCAAUAGGUAGCAGAGAAUCAUAGAAUCAUUUUGGUUGGAAGAGACCCUUAAGGUCAAGUCCAACCAUAAUGUAACUCUAGCACUAAACCACGUCCCUAAGAGCCUCAUCUAUACAUCUUUUAAACACCUCCAGGGAUGGUGACUCCACCACGUCCCUGGGCAACCUGUUCCAGUGCUUCACAACCCUUUCUGUGAAGAAAUGUUUCCUCAUAUCCAAUCUGAACCUUCCCUGACACAACCUGAGGCAAUUUGCUCUCAUGCUAUCACUUGCUACUUUGGAGAAGAGACCAACACCUUCCAUGCUACAAUGUCCCUUCAGAUAAUCAGAAGGUCUCCCCUCAUACUCCUUUUCUCCAGGCUGAACAGCCCCAGUUCCCUCAGCCUCUUCUCAUCAGACUUGUACUCCAGACCCCUCACCAGCCUCAUCACCCUUCUCAAAGUGUCUCCAGCACCUCAAUGUCUUUCUUAUAGCGAGGGGUCCAAAACUGAACACAGGAUUCAAGGUGAGGCCUCACCAGUGCUGAGUACAAGGGGAUGAUCACUUCUCUAGUCCUUCUGGCCACACUAUUUCUGGUAAAAGCCAGGAUGCUGUUGGCCUUCUUGGCCACCUGGGCACACUGCUGGCUCAUGUUCUGCCAGCUGUUGAUCAAUGCCCCCAGAUCCUUGUCUACCAGGCAGCUUUCCAUCCGCUCUUCCCCAAGCCUGUAGAGAUACAUGGGGUUGUUGUGACCCAAGUGCAGGACCUGGCUCUUGGCCUUGUUCAGCCUCAUACAAUUGGCCUCAGCCCACUGAUCAGCUGGUCCAGAUCCCUCUGUAGAGCCUUCCUGCCCUCAAGCAGAUCAACACUCCCACCCAACUUGGUGUCAUCUGCAAAUUUACUAAGAGUGCACUCAAUCCCCUCAUACAGAUAAUUGAUAAAGAGAUUAAACAGAACUGUUCCCCUGGGGAACAACACUUGUGACCAACCACCAACUGGAUUUGACUCCAUUCACCACAACUCUUUGGGCCCGGCCUUCAAGCCAUGCAAAUAGUACACCCAUCCAGGCCAUGAACUGUCAGCUUCUCCAGGAGAAUGCUAUGGGAAAUGUUGUCAAAGGCUCUACUGAAGUCUAAGUACACAACAGCCACAGCCUUUCCCUCAUCCGCUAAGUUGGUGACCUUGUUGUAGAAGGAGAUCAGGUUGGUCAAGCAGGACCUGCCUUUCAUAUACCCAUGCUGACUGGGCCUGAUGUCUUGUUGGUCUUGUGUGUGCUGCAUGAUGGUAAUCGAGGUGAUCAGUUCCAUGAGAUCCAGAAAAAAACAGGUGCUUCCAAUACAGAAGCAACCUCUGGCACUUUGGAUGGGAGAAAAUUGGGACAAUGUCCCUUCUUCAAGGAGUUGGCAAUACAAGGUCUGAGCCUCUCUUGCUAACUAUGGAUAUAGUGUUUUGUUUUUUCUUUAUGAGGGAGGGCAUGGUCAGAGCAAGAGAAGAACUGAUCAGCUCUUGAAAAGGAAGGCUGGACAACUCAUCAUGUCGACAAUAAGUGUUUGUCACUUUCUUAAAAUGACUGGUUGGCAACACUUGAAAUCUGACAUGAAAACGAAACUCAAAACCCACAAAGACAACUUUCCUGAAGUCAGCAUUCCCUCCAUAGUUGCCUGUCUGCUUUUAGGUACAGAGAGUGAUACUUCUGCAUAGAAUUCAUUAUUUGAGGGAUAUUUUUACACAGAACUAACUAGCAUUAUUACUUCUUCUCCUUGCACAACUGUUUGAUAUACUGGUUUCUAUGUGUUAUAGUUUGAGAAUAACUAUUUGUUCACCCACAUUCAUUCUAACUGAGAAUAUUCAUUAUUGCCAUUUUAAAAGCCUAAUUUGAGAUACCUCAGAAUGUAAUAAUUAUACUUUUUUUCAUUGUUACAAUUCAACACUUUCAAAUUUCAAUUUCAAAAAGAAAUUUAUAAGAUGAGUGAAGUCUAAUGUCUCUGACAUACAAAUCCUGUGUGAUUUUUCUAAUACUUAUUCAUUUUGUAACCUUCACAACAACAGCAGUGAAUGAAUACCAUUCUAAUUUAGAGAAAAGAGUAAAGUGAGCUUCACACCAACAAAGUAUUCUAGAAGAAAAUAGAUAAAACAGAAUGAAAACUUUUUCAUUAAAAUGAAUAGCCCAUCAGUGGGUGAUGAAAGCAUUCUCUUAUCUUACACAAGAAGAAAAACGUAUAGCUGAAGGUAAAUUGUAAGACACGAAAAGGUUGAAUUUAGUUUAACAUUUAUCUUGUAGACCAAGGACUUUAAAAGUCAACAGAUAUCUCUCUGUUUGGCAGAGGAAUUUAGAUUUCCCUGAGUCCUCUAUGUCCUUUGAAUUCUACAGUGAUACAGAUAUAUAUAUUUUAGUUUGGCUGGCAGCCAUGGUAAAACAUGCCAGAUGGAUAUAUAAUUUAUACAAUGCUUUCAACCACUCUACUUUAUUAUGAGAAAAUAAACCCACUUUUAAAUAUAUGAAGUGGGAAAUAGAUAUUGUGGAGGAAAUAAUUUAUUUUUGUCCUUCGAUGACACAGAUCCAUGCAGAUGUUGAAGAAUGAACAUGGCUCCUGCCUGUAAGGUGAAGGUGAAUGGAUUUUUGCCAAAGUGCUUUCCUGCAUUCUCUAACUGCUUUUAUUUUUUACCAAGCAUGCCUUAAAUCUUUUUAUCUAUGUUUCACCAAUGUAAGGCAGGCGGAAUAUUGUGCCAUCAGCACAAGCUCUACUGACUUCUUAACAGUUAGCACUACAAGAUAUUUCAAGUCCAUAUCAAAGAAGACAUCUGCUCAUAGUGGUGAUUCUUCUCUCUGGGUAGUAACUAAGCAAGAAUUCAGUGGAAACAAUGGGGACUGGGCUUCAAACAUUUUUGGUAAAAAAAGUCUAUGUGCUAAAUUAAAUGGGAGGCUUACACAAGAAGUGAUAUUUGUGUACUAAGCACAGUCAUUUUUAAUGCCUCCUUUAGGGACAUUAACCUAAAACAGUCAAUAACCCGCUUGGAAAUUUUGUUUAAGUUUUGCUUUUCAUCCUACUCUAGCAGUUUUUCCUUGCCUCUAACACAAGAUUUAUUUUGCUUUGUUUUGCUGUUUAUUUGCCUGCCAAUGUAUGCCUUUAUAUCUUGUUUCCCAUAAAUUAUAAUAAAUGAAGUCUGUCCCUCUUUCAUGCUUUUAAAACAUACAUCAUUUCAGUAGUGUUGUUAUCAAUGCUUUAAUGAUACAUGACUGACUCUAUUGGGUUACCUUUGCCUUAAAGUGAGUUCUUGUUUUCUUGUGUAACAAGCCUUUCUUAAUGGAAAUAGGAAUAAAUAAAGCAAAUUUUCUGACAUUGAUCUAAUACUAUAAACACAAUAAACAUUCGAUUUCCAAGGAAUACUGAAGUACUAAGGAAAGAUACCUCCCUGAACAGUUACAUCUUUCACUUAGUCAAUACUAAAGUCCCUCAUAGAAGUGUAGGUAGAAUUGUUCUAUUUCACAGGACUCUCCUGUUUCCACUGGGCCUUUGCCUAUCUGUCUGUCUGUCUAUCUGUCUGUCUAUCUGUGUAUCUAUCUAUGUAUCUAUGUAUCUAUCUAUCUGCCUGCCUGCCUGCCUGCCUACCGACCUACCUACCUACCUAUUUAGUGUCCAUUAAUAUAAAGUUAUUUAAAACAAUCUUUUGAAACAUUGUUGUACAAACAGCAAUUAAAAAUGAGACAACAGUACUAUGUACCAAACUUUGAAGCAAGUUUAUUUUAGAAUGAAUUCUUUUUCCUUCUCUAAAAGGCUACUUAUCCUCUCUAAAAGCCUACUUAUCCUGAACACAUAAGCAAGGCAGAAAACCCCAAAGAAAAUUAUGUAAUAAGAAGAAAAUAAAUUGAAUUAUUUCAAAGAGCAGAUCUUGUUACUGUCUUUCUCUUUCAUCUCUCAAAUUAUCCAUGACUUAACCUCAUUUCUCAACAUCUAAUUCAUCUGAUUCUUGCCUGACAUUACAGUGUAGUGGACAGACACUACAUCAAAUACCAACGUUAACUUCAGCUGUACUCUACGUAUAAAAGAAUCCCCUUGUAGGAGCUCUAUGGAAGUUUAGCAGGAGCUCAGACACCAGAUUCACAGCUCCAAGGAGAGGCUGGGGCCUCAUAUUGCCGACUCCUUGAGGCAGAAUCAUUGUCCUAAUUUCUUCCUGCCCAAGGGUGGCCAAGGAUGCUUCUGUACUGGAAAAACAUUGAGAUUGCCUCUAGGAAAAUUAGUCCCUGGCAAAGACCUUGUAACAAGUUGCACUUUCUGGACGUGUAAUAAACUUUAUUUUUUCUCAUCUGUAUUAGUAUUUCCAUUCUCUGUGUCCAUAUGUGGGCACAGAACUAAUUAUAUUUUAGCCAUAAUAUUCUGCAAUAUUUUCAGUUUAUGCGCCUAUAUCUUCAAUCCUGGUGUCCUUAUGGCAACAAAAAAAUCUCACAUUUCACAGAAAAAGUGAGACGUAAAAUCUAUUAAUUUUUAGAGAAUUCCCACUUAGUCUUUUAUUGAAUUCCCAAAUGAAGCAAAAGAUAAUUGGAAUUGAAAUAAACUGAGUUACUGAAAAAUUGGAAUGAUUUUUGAUUAAAUUGCUUUUCAUUAACUUUUUCCUCAAGCUAUGAAUCAUUGUGCACCCUGGAGAGCUCUGGUCAGUGCUGCGUCUGCUUCCUUUCUGCUCUUUGUGUCAGUUAGCCAGACUGUUUGGUCAAGGUUGACACUGCCAGAGAGAAGCUACAAGCCUCACAACUCAUGAAAAGGACAAGAAGCUGGUGACACUAUUAUGGGACAGAGGGGAGAAGGUGAGGAUGGCAGGCAAUGAUCAACAUGAGGCGAAGUUUGAAAGGAAAGGACCCACCAGUGGGCAGCAGUCUCAGAAGGGUUUAGUCUCUUUCAGCAGAUUAUGCAGGUAGCAUUAAAUGAAUUAAUGCUUGAUGUCCUGUAUAAUUUAAUUUUAGGGUUUCCUUUAUAGCUUAGCAAUUGUAAAAUACUUAGGUGUUUGUUACCUCAUUAGACCUCACUUUAAAUAACUGAGUACAUAAAUAAAGCAUUCUAUUAGCUUCAUUUUACAUUUCUGACACGUAACUAAAAGUGGUGUCACUCUGCAAAGCAUAUGACCCCUGUGCAAUGAGGAUAUGCCUUUCAAAAACUUGUUUGACAUCUAAAAACCUUUGUCAGAGCUCUUCAGGAGAGUAAAGAGAAGUUUUAAAAAUAGGUACAAACCUCAUUAAGAGUUUGCAAAUGCAGUGGGACUAAAAGGUCAGUUUUGUCUUUGCAAAAGGUUAAUAGCAGGACACCAUAUGGCUAUGUACUCAGACUGUUAUUUCUUGUGUCUAUUGAUCAUAUUACUAACCACAAUCAGUCUGAAGAUUACAGCAUGUAGGCUAGUGUGGCUACGUGCCAAGUUUUGAGGAAUUACCUACUUCCCUAUGCACAAGGCAGCAUCUCACAUGGGUGAAGCAGUGAACAGAAGUGUCCCUCUGGUCUGGGCAAAUGCCAUAGACACAGAAGAUGAAAGGAAUGUGUGCAAUGACUGGGACAGGAAAAGAGAAGGCUAAAACAGGGUCACUGAUGUGAACCAGCCACAUUUUUGGAAAUCAGAACUAAAAUAAAUGGAAGUAUUCACUGUGGGCAUAAAAUGAGCCAUUAUGCAAAGAUAAAAUUUAGUACAAGAUGCAAAACAAGACAUAUGGUUGUUAAGUCUUGGUGCUUGUAAAGGUGACUGUGAAUUCAGUUUUGAAGGCAAGGCAGUUUUUUGCAGCUCUGUUUUCCACAUGGUUUUUGCAUAAGAAAUACCUAAGCUUUAUGUUAGUCAUAUUUAUCAAACAGAAUCUUCAAUGCUUACCUGUAUUUUUUUUUUUAUUUUUAAUUUUUUUUUAAUAAGUAAAUUCUGCUUACCUUGUCAUAAAACAGUCUUUUAUACAGGAUUGUGUAAUACAAGAUACUAGAUUAACAUUAACCACGUUUUAAGGUAAGUUUUUUGAAGUCCUCACUCAAAUUUUAUUUUCUUGUUCAGGUAGUCUUCCUGAAUAACAGAAAAUGUUGAAAAUAAAAGAUAGCAGGAAAGCAGUCCUCUCCAAAGCUUUAUUUAUGUUUUUGAAAAGAUAUUGAAUGGAUUCUGCAAAAGCCCUGUUGAGUUCUCAGUAUAUUACAUAUUAGUCAAACUAUAACUUUUCCUGCCUAUGUUUUGCCAUGUUGUUUCUUGAUGAACUCUUUGGUGGUCAUCGGGCAAAGAGAAAGGUGCCAGUAAGUUCAGUGCAAUAAGUCCAGUUCUCACAUCUGCUAGCAUCACAAUGAGGAAAUUGAAAAGUAUCUGUCUUUGCAAAGAAAGCCAUUGUUUUAAAAGAGAUUUAAACAGUAUUCAAAAUUUUGGAGAAAAGCCCUAUUCCUUAGAAAGCCUGUUAAAUAAUUGCUAUAUGGGAUUAACAACACAUCAGUCAGAUGUGAAAGGCUGACAGUUAAACUGAGCUUUGCAUACCUUGGUAACCUUGAUUUGGAUUCCUUUGUCAAAUCGUCAGUGAUUAAUUUAAUUACACAUUUGCAUAAGGUCGGUGGAAGAUCCAGCACUGUUUCUACUUUUCUUUGCUUGCCCUUCUGUGACACAGAAAAUAUUUGUGAUCGUGGUUACUCUUAAAUAGUUUUUUUAAAUCUUAUUGACACCUGUCAAGUCGGCUGUGAAAAGUAUUCAAGAAAGUGUUUAACAAAUGGAAGAGGAACCAGUCAGGCUGCAAUGAACUUCGCAAAUGCUUGCUUCCAUCAAAAACAAGGAAAAAGUCCCUGAGAUUUUCACUGUCAAAACAACUGGGUUUUUUUUGAAAAAUCACUGAAAAAUAACUGUUCCUAUGUUUACUGGUACAUUUUUUCUCUUGUUCUUGUGUGUGUGAAUGCCUCAGCCAUCGCCAUGAAAUCCAUCCUCUGUGAUACUUGCCCUUGGCAUCACUAGUGAUGUGAGCAGUACCACUCUGGUGUCAGUAAUUUCCCACAAAGCCUGAACAGUGGGUUCAUAAAGGUGAGCUUUUGGGCAACUCAGACACUCAGACACUCUCUCCCCGUAGAAUGCAUUUCAGCAACCUAAAAGGCAAGUGCAGUGUUGACUGUGAACAAGUGGUACACGGAUGUCAGGCAGACUUUACAGGCAGACAACAUUGUAGUUUGCCUCUGGAGGGUUUAACUCAAACUGCCCAACCAUGUCCUUUGCCAUGUCAAUUGUCUUUCCAUAUUUUCCACAUUUUUCCAUAUUUUUUUUCUAUAUUUUUGAAUGUUACAACUUGCGCACUGAAGAGCUUUUUUUUUUGGUGGGGAGUAAAAUAAAGAGGGUGCUUACAUAGUGUGUUUGUUGCUUCUUUGAUGAUUAGCCCUGCCUAACCAAUUUUUCACCUCUCUGUGCAGCCUCUGGUUCUGCUUUGUGGGGUCUUAAGUGUCUUGGUAACCUCUGAGGUAUGGACACACAUGUGCCUCAAGGAAUUCUGUAAGGUGCCAGGUGCAGGCCUGUGCAGCUUACUGUGUUCUUCAACUCUUCAGAACACUGGAAAAUUGCCUGCGUUUGCAUAUGGCUGUUUUCAAACAGGAGCCUUUUGCCUGACUUCUAGCCUUUCAGUAGUCUGGACACUACACAAACUGUAGUUUUCAUCCACCAGUAUAGUGUUUGAAAACAGAAAUGUAUAUUUAAUAUAUCGCUAUGUUACAUAUAAAUUUGUACCAAAUGUAUAAAUGGUAGCAAGGACUUGAAUCCUGACCAGAAACACAUCCCGAUUACAAUUUGAUCACACAAAACACAGGUAAACAGAGGCUACCAUUUCUCUUUGACCAUAUGUUCAAGUGCUUGUGUGUAGCAUCCUGCCUGCUUCCAUAUGCCUGUUUCCAUACCUUUCGGUUUCUGUCAGUUCUCACGGGUGUUAUGGCAUUCCCAAAUCCUCUCAUUUCAGGUGUUUGUGCUGUUCCUUUCCCAUCUCCAGCUAUUCUUACCCUCCUUUCUUCUGCCCCUGUAAGCCCUCCCUGGGACAUCCCAACCCACAGCAGCCCCCAGGCAGGUGUUUGGUGGUACAAAAGGUGAGUUUGGUAAUUUCAGCAUAGCUAAAUAAUUCUAAAUGUGUACUUUUCGGUGGCUAUUUCAUGGUAAGUAGAAACUAGUACUAGGUGAAGCAUGAGAGACAUUUACAAGGUCAUUUUAAAAGAGAAUAAAGAGUUUGUUCUGCCUGAUUUAUCAUCCAGGACUUUUGUCUAGACAUUUUUACAGCAGAAAUUUAAAUCACUUAUGACUUUAAUUAGUAAAAUGUCUUGAUUUAGUACAUUAAUGAUUUCCAGGCAAAUUAAAUAUUAAAAGGAAAGUCUGAGAAGUGUAGCUUAAAAUAUCUGAAACUAAGAUUCAAAAAGAGAUGUCUUAGUUGUGUGUGUGUUUUUGUGUUUGUACAAGCCUGCUAGCAAAAAAAAAAAAGAAAAGAAAAUAAAAGAGAAGAGGUUUUGGCUCAUUUAAUAAUGGGUAAAAUAAUAAAGGUAAAGAAAGGGCUAGGGAAUGAUUUGUCAGUGGUCAUAAAAUCACAGGCAUGUGUCUUUAUCUUUCAGGAAGGAAAAAGCUAAAAAUGGCAAGAAAUGACCACCAGCCUUUGGUCUAAACUUACAGAAUCAGUCUCACAAUUUCAGCACAAGGAAAUUAUUAAGAGCCUAGGCAGAUGCUACAGAGCCUUUAGCAGAGUUCUGCACGCUCCCCAGGCAGAGAAGAAAUUCACAUCAGAAGAAAAUUGGAUGAGAGAUGGAGAGAAAGUGAGCGUCUCAUAAAAUGGGUCCCUGUAGGCUGCUGCGCAUAUGUAAAACAGUAGAUAAAAACCAUGGCAAUUUUGAUCUAUCUUCUUUCUUGGAAUCAUUUAUUUGUUUACUAAAUUUAAUUUUUGGCUCCUAAUUUCUGUGAAAUUUCAGCAGCAGAACUGAUUUUAAAUUCUUUUUAGAAGAAGCUUUGAAAGGUCUUUGUACAGCGUGUCUUGCCUCAAAGCAAUGUACAACAGUCCUCAAAUGAGGUGUGUUGCCAGCAGAGCAAUUAUCAUAGAAUAGUAGGAUAAUAAAUAUUCAUUGGUAGACUGUUGCAGAUCUGACAAUAGAGUCAGAAUAAGUUUUAUUCACAUUUAAAACAGCAAAUUUUUCACAUUAUUAAAAAAUCUAGUUUCCCUUAGAUGUGUUUUUCUGGACAUCUUUUGGUUCUUAGGACAGUGAUGUCAAAGGAGAAUAGGCCUAACCUAGGGGUUAAGAGAACUGCAGCGGUCUGUGUUACUUUAAUGUAUAUCCCUGAGUAACUCACUGGGAUCUGAAUUCUAGGAAAUACCUGCCAAAAGUUUGGGUCAGAGCUCCUAUUUUAGAAAAGCAGUAAUGUGGAAACAGGAUAUUUGGUCUUAUGAAAGGAAGUCUCAGAAUGGCAUCCUCAAAUGACGCCUAGCUUUGGGUAGCUAUUUAAAAAUGAAAAAAGCAAUAGGUCCUAAUCUUGUCAAGGGCAAGCUGUGCAUACCUGUGCUCUGCCAAGUGCUUCAUUGUCAAGAGAUGUCACCUAAGAGCUCUGUGGCACCAUGUUGUUAGCAAGAGAGGCUUCCAACCAUUUGAUUGCAGUAGUUUUACAUGCCCUUUUCUUGACCUUAACUCCAGGAGGAUUAAAAUAAACUGAGAUGAAAACAUGGGUGUUCUUAACCUCCUCAGGAUUUGAUUCAAGAGCAGGAGCCUUAUAGGAUCUGUAUGAUAUGGAUUACAUAUACAGGUCCUUCCCCUUAGCGUUGCUUCAUGUCCAUCCAUGAUGUUUCUGAUCUUGUUAUCAUUCAGCACCUUGCUCUGCAGCAGUAGGAGUGCAGGAGAUGAUGCAGAGUCUGCUGGAAUUUAUCUCAAAUACCACUCAGGGAUCUCAUGAAUCAAAGUCUCAGUUCGUUGCUCGAUAAGGCAGAUACUCACUCCAACCUGAGAAAAUAACUAGAAAUAUGACCUUUCUACAAGCUACCUUCAAACUGAAAUGAAAGUUCUUUAAGAUGAGAUGGUGUCUGUUUUAACAGCUGGACCUGCAUGCCAGGCAGAUACAAAGAAAGCAGAAGAGGACCAUGAGGUGUGGCACCACAACAGGUCUGCCAUGUACUGUGGGAUCUCUUGUUUUCCAUGUAGCAUAAAACUAUGGUACAGCUUCUCACUGCCUACCAUUAAUUUCUUGGGGUGGCUGCCAGCAGGGGAAAAUACACAGAACUUGAUUCUUGUUUUGCAUUUACUUGUUCUGUCUCUUUUCCUCUUACAGAGAUCACACCUAAGUGUGCAGUGAAGAAAUAUUCAGAGCCCCGGGGCUUUGUCUGUUCCUUCCCCACUCAGGUUUGCUAACUCAGUAGCUGGUUUGUUUUGGCCUUCCAAGCAUAAGGAAGGCCUGGAAAUGAAGAAGUGUCUUAUUUUCUUUGCCUCCUCCCACCGCUCUGCUUCACAGUUUUCCUUUAGGCAUGUUCAUCCCUGGUAGUCUCAACAUUUUGAGGAAAAUAAUUGGUCCUGCCAGUCAGAAAUGUAAAGUUUCUCUUCUCAAUCUUUUCUGACUUCCUGUUUUCUCCAUUUCUUCUAUAUUGUUCAGAGUGGGGAAUGUGGACGGCUGGGUGGGACAGAAGCAGGUUCCACGUUGGUUCUGGUGUUUCCUAGCUGUCUGAGCCAACACAAUAAAGCUGGGUCCAUUGACACCUUCAGCAACAUCCGUGUUUAGAUAUGUAUAUAGGAAACCUGGGUAAUAAGGGCUUUCCUAUAAGUGGAUUCCUCUAUAAAUAAAUGUGUGGCAAUUCUCUGUUCUUCAAGAAACACCUCUACCACCGAGCAGCUCUUUCAUUUCAGAAGGAACAUACAGACUUAAGACCCUAUUGUAAGCUGGACAUUUCCCUUCCUUUUGGGAAAUGUCAGCUGUUUAAUUGUAUGGGACUCAUAUUUCAUAUACACUGGAGCCUUCUGGAUUACUUUUUGACACUGAGCUUCUGCUUCAGCCUUCUUCCCAUUUUUUUUCAUGCCCUUCUGAAGCAUUAGAAAACAGCAUUUAAAAAAAAUACUACUUUUUUUUUUUUUUUUAAAGUGAUCUUGCAGGUAAACAAGGUAAUAAACUGUAGCGAGUGGGAGAGCAAACAGUAAAAGAAAUAUAAAGCAGAAUAUAAACAUACUGUAUCAAAUGGAAUAUUAAACAUAACCCUAAACAUACACUAAAUGUAAAAGUAAAAUAAGAAGUGAUUUUUGGUCCAGUGGAUUUUUUGGUCUUAUAGAAUUGUUCAGCAUCUAAGUCAGAAGAGAAUUCAACUGAUGAAAUGCAGCACAAAUGUUAAACAUUACUUACUAGAUGGAAUUUUUCAAAAUCAAGGAGAACAUAAGUUGAAUUUUAAGGAGAUUACAGUUUAGAACUAAAAAUAUUCAAGUAUGGAUGCACAGAAAAAAGUACCACUUCAGCUAUUUUUACUUGCAACCACAUUGCUUUCUCAGAAUUGCUAUUUAAACACUGCUUUAAGAUCUGCAAUGCUAAGCUGAAAGUCCAAAUGUAUAACUAGUCAUGUCGUAAUGAGUUUUCACUGAAAAGACGAGAAUAUCUGUAGGUUUUCAAACUGUUUGGUUAAUAUACUGGUCAAAUAAUUUUAAAUAAAAAGCCACAUCACCUGUUCUUUUAUUUAAGGACAAGAGCAUACCUAUACUUAGUAUAGACAUCAUUGCCAGUGCAUGGAGAUAGGGCACAAAAAUAAUGUACAGUGAGACUCAAUAAGAAUAUACAGGGAAAAGAUGUAGUAAUGACGCUUUAGAAAAGAAGGAUGGUGGAAUUAUUGUUUGUGGCUCUGUAUUUAUUCUGUUGCAUACCAUCAUGCUCAGAUAAUCCUAAUUCCACUGUUUACAGUGCUAGUAGUUGUAAUAUUUAUGCUGUGUCACAGCCUCUGUGUAUUUAUAGGCCUGCAAGUCCUUUUUGCUCAGUUGAGGGACUGAGGUGGCAUGGGAGGUGUUUUCAUGCUACUUGGGGGUGCGUAGCCAUUAUUUUCAGCCCCUCUGGUGUGAUAGGGCUGCUGUUUAGAAACUUUGAAGAAUCUGCUCAAAGGAACCAUAGGAUAAUGAGCACAGGGAAAUCUCAGGCAGAGAUGUGUUAGUUGCUAUUCAGAGACUCAAAGUAAAGUACAUUAGCAGGCACUUUGUAGUAAAUGUGUGCCCAGGGCCUGAUAACCUUCAAAUUUAAGGAUGUAUUUAGGGACUAUCACAUUUAUAACAGAAGAAGAAGACACUUUUAAAAAAUAUACAGAAUGUGUCAGUAAGGCACAAAUGUUCUGGGGUAUGCAUUAUCCUAGAUGAAAAUUAUUCUCUUGAGUGCCUUCCCAUUUUAUCAGGGCAGAUUUAGUCCCUAUCAGAGGGCACCCUGAACCUCUGGGGUUGGCAACAAGCAGGACUUGGGUGAAGUGCUUCCUUCGCUCCUGUAGGAAACAUCAUGGCUGACCACAUGCUUUGCCAUCACAGGGAAAAACACGGAGUUACUCAUGCUCUGAUGUGGUGGACAUCCUCGGGGGCUGGAAAUCAAAGGUCAUAGCCAUGGUUGAGAGGUGGUAUGGUUGCUGAAGCAGAUGCCAUCUACUGUGAAAACACCUCAAAUAAUGAAGUGCUUUUAUGGUCAGUAUUUGGGCUUCAUCCAGUUUUAAAGAGAGACAAGGAGGAGCUUUUCAAUGACUGCACUGGGAGCAAGAUCAACCCCCAGAUGUUUCCAGACCUUUCAAUUUUUUCUCUUUCCUUCCAGCUCUUUUUUCUGCCUUGUAAAUCCAUUUUUGAGUCUCUGCAUUGGGAAACCUAGGGAAAAGAAAAUUCCUUAACAACCUUUGCUUUAUUCUAUUCUUGUGCAUAUAAAAGUGAAGUUUGGGAUACUUCAGUGAAGGAGUCUUGCAGCUACACAAAAGGAAAGCUGACUUUAGCAUUCAUUUACCCCUAUACAUGUAUAGCACCAGCUAUAAACAGUAGGCAAUCUGCAUGUAUGAGGAGUUUCAGGAUUUGAGGAUUACACUGGUAGAGCGGGGGCUUUUCCUUUCAAGUGUGCUGCACUGUAUUUCUAAUAAAUUGUUUAGCCUUUAAUCAAUUGACUUGUGAUUUAAUUGACAUUGACUGCAAUCCUUUUGUUUUUUGCUCUGUUGCAGCUGUAGCUAACACACAUCUUUUGUUUCCCAGGGAAGAAGACUUAUCCAAAGUUCUUAGGUUUUCUUUCUCUUCUCUCAUUGAGUAUUUUGCUGGAGUCAGGAACACAGGUCCCUUAGUUUCAUGGCUAGCAGAUAAUUUGUUUUGUUUAAAAAAACAGUAAAUAUCUGCCAUUAGUGCUGCUGCAACUGCUAGCUAUGAAUAUGAGAAUAUUUCAUAUUUAAAUUAGUUGUGAAAAUGAGACUAAUUAGUUUUAAGUAUUAAUCUAUACCUCAAAAGUCUCAAUGAAGAGAAAAUGUGCCAUUCUGCUGUUAUGUGGCUUAAGAGAGUAAGAUAAAGCUCUGCAUUGCAUGUUGUUUUAAUUUAAAAAUAUUGUAAUUAAUUUUAUCCUGUCUUGGCAAAUGCCUGAAGCAGCAUUUGGCUGUACUAAGGGAGUGUGCUGUUCAUCUCUAUCAGUGUCUUAGCAUUAAAGUGCUUCUGACAAAUAUCUAAGCCUCUUGCACAGGAUAUUGAGGACCUGCUGUUUGAGUCAUACAUUGAGCUUAUUGUCCAGCAUCUCUGUCUUUUAAAGCUGCUAAAGCUGAAAGUUGGUAAUAGUGAUACUGAGCUCUGGUACUUUUCAUCAAAAAACUUCUCUUCAGGUCAUUAAUAAAGAUCAUGAACCACUGAGAGGCUAAACGAUGUAUCUAACCGGUAUCACAUGAGAAGUCACUGUCAGAGCCAGAGAGAAAAGAGGCUCAAGUCACCUGUUCUGACCACAAAACUACACUUACUCCUUACCUGUCAAUCCCUCACUGUGUCUAAUUUGUAUUAGUAUGGUAAAGAAUCUUUGAAAACAUAAGUGUUCAAAACCACUGUUAGGGAAUAAUUUUGUGGCUUUGCCACAAUUUUGUGGCUUUUUUCCUAAACAUUUCUUUUUUGUUAGUGAAGUCAAAGAUUAUUUGCACAGAGCAAAUAUUGUUCCUCUGGACUUUUUUUUCCAGCUCUUUUGUUCCUCUUAUGCAAGAUACCUUCUCUGCUUUUUGACUUCAAACUUUUCUAUGGAAACCGAUUAAGGAGUUGUCAUGUUCCUUGUCUGACAGGAUAAAAUAGCAACUGAAGUCUGGUACCCCACCCAAAAUAAUAUACUGAGGAUGUUUCCUUUCUAUCAAGUUUAAAUGAGAGUAAAAUUGUUAUUGAUCCUGAGUUUUACAGAAGAACGUAUUGGAGAUAUGGCUACACCUUUGCCCAACUUCUUUUCUUUCACCUUACCUUCCUUUCAUCUCUUAACUUGACAUUCUUCCCUCUGAGAGUCUUAACUUCACUGUUUAUCUCUGUAUGAGGCUUUCCACAAUGACAUUUUGGUACAGCUCUUGUGUUUAACCAGCUGGUGUUAUUGUUCCAGGUGCUUCUGAGAAAUACACCAUUAACAUGUUGGGGUAUUUGCUACCAAAGGGCAAUAGUGACCAAGUUAUAAACAGAGACAGGCAUUUCAUGGGAUUUUCAAGUGGCUUGUAUGAGUUAAAGAGAAUUCCACUGACCCUUAGGCUUCCAUAAAACCCACUUCCAGCUUUUUGUACAAGAUUUUUUUCUUAAAACAGGGGACGUUAGUGUAUGGAGUUACAUGAUGAGUAUACCCAGGCACUUCACUGGUAUAUAUGCACUGUACGUGUGUGUAUUUUGAGUCACACAACUCAGAGAGGUGGUAGAUGCCCCAUCCCUGGAGACAUUCAGAGCCAGGCUGGAAGGGGCUCUGAGCAACCGGAUCUAGUUGAAGAUGUCCCUGCUCAUUACAGGGAGGUUGGACUAGAAGAACUUUGAAGGUCCCUUCCAACCCAGACUGUUCUAUGAUUCUAUGAUAUGCCACGGUGCUGCCCUGGUGCCGGGUAAGGCCAUGUAAUCCAUCAAGCAUCCUGCAAGCUAGCAAUUCCCCUUGACUUUGGCAGGAUGUUUGUGAAACAGAUGUCACAUAGUGCUGUGCCAGCAAUAUACAUGGCGGGGGAUUCAGGUUCCACAUAGGAACACUGGAAAAAAGAAGACCUUUUAGGUACUCUCAAACUGAAUAUCUAAAAAACCCAAGAAAAUAAAUUAAAGUGAAGAGGACUAAUUUAUUUAUCUUUUAAUGUAUCAAAUGAACUAAAGCAAAGGUUAAUUUUCUUGUAGUCUGUAAGAAUAACAAUAUGUAGUUUAAUUUCUGAGAUACUGUUUUGGAUUUUUUUUAAUGUAGUCAAAUACUGGAAAGGUUCCAGAUACUUUUUCUUUCCUUAGUGAAACAUUUUGCUGAGUUUGACCCCAAAUCACAAUUGUCCUGAACUUCUAUUUUUUAUUUAUGUAUUUGUAUGUAUUUAUAUAUUUACCAUUCACUGUACUUCUGAAGGGGAUAAUGUUCAGGGUAUGAUGGGGAAACCAGAACAUGAGAGGAAUCAAAGUUCUUGGUGUUUCUAGCUUUUUUAAUUUUAAGAAUUCUCUCUCAGAAUACACUGCCUUGUGUUCAGCAGAGUUCUGGCAAAAUCUCACUUUUCCAAUUUUACUACACUUUCUGGCAAAGCCCCAUUUUAAAAACAUUUCUAUGUGUCUGUGAAUAGCACAAGAAAAAAGUCAAUACUGACCUUUUUGUACCACCUUAUCCCUUCAUUCUGGAAUACAGUGUGUGAUUUUGAAGUUUUUACCAUUGAAACUAUGUAGGGUGCAGUAUGUAUGUCUGCUCUCAGUUUUCUGAGAAGUUUCUUUAGCUGGAUGUGCGUAAUACGACUGUUGAGCAAAGCAUAGGUAAGUGGAGCAGAGUUGGAAUGAUGCAAUAGACUUGAGUGAAGAAACAGAAAUAAUGAUUUAGAAAAGUUUUCUUAGCCUGACUAAUGGGCCUCCUCUUGUCAUUCUUUCUCAGAGGUUGUUGACAUAGUCCUGAGGAGAUGAUGAGCUGUUAAUAGUACUUGUUGGGUGUUUUUUUCCCCUCAUGAAAAUGUAUCUCAAUAGAGAUGGAGAGAACAGUAAUGCUAAAAAUAUGAUGGGUAAGCAGAAUGCUGAACAGAAUGAACUUUAAAAGCUUUCCCCAAAACACUGAUAAAUGAGUUCCUUAAAAUGCUUUAUUUUGAGAGAUAGGGUAGUAUAUUCUUCAUUUUAUUGCACAUCUACCAUGAAGCAAGAUAUGCUUCAUUCGCUAUUUUGCCUGAAGAGUCACUGAUAAAAUCAAAUUUUGUAUCCAAUCUUUCACUGUAAAAUAUUCAAACAUUUUUUCCUGCCAGCACUCACAGAAACAGCUGAAUAGAGUGUCUCCUUCCACUGCCCUUUGUUUAUUUCUGACUUAAUAGGUCCACCAAUAUGGAAAUUGCAACUACUUUUCAUUUUUCGAAUGAACAUUGAUUUUUAAGUAGCUCUUGGAGUUUGUUCUGCACAAACCCUUUAGACUCUGUUAGGUAGCACACUAAUUCAGAUGUUGUAUCCCAAAGAAUGUUAGUAUCCCAAACCAGAGAUACUCUCUUAUUCACAGGGGUAAAGUUAGGCAGGUGAUAUGGUUCUUUGCUGAGUGGGUGACAUGACCUCUGUGAAGGUAAAUGCGGCUGCAGGCAAGAACAGGUCUUUACUGGCAAUACUUUGUGUGGACUGUGUUUCCUGAGGACCAAGAUGAGAUCUGCAAAGGUGAAGGGAACUGUUAAAAGGGUAAGACAAAUCCCAAGAGCGGAUUGAAAAGUAGGUUUUUAUUUUCCUUUUUAUUUUUUUUCCCAGACAUUAAUACUUUUAUUGUAGAGGAACUGGAAGAAAACGCUCGAAUGUUUGAAUCCACUUUGGUAAUAGCAAUGUUAAAUAUCACAAGCAGAUUUUAUGUCUACCCACUCAAGAAGGAAGGUAAAUACAUUUUGGAAUUUCAUAUCCUACUUUGCUGAUCCAGUUAUUUUAUGCUCUGGUGCCUCUGCUACCCAACAGUCUAUUAUAAUUUGUUUUAUUAUUCAGUGGCUUUUGUUGUGUAGUUUGAGAUUAUAUAUAGUAUUGGAAAAAGAAAUGCAUUAGACAUGUGGUGUUCAGCUUGCACACCCUCGUUUCUUUUAUUUCUUUGUUGUGAUAUAUGGAAGAUUUUUCCCUUUAGUUUUCAGAAUCCUGCACAAAUGAAAUAUUAAUGGAAAGGAGCUAUCAAAUGACAGCAGUAGUUAGUGAGCAUUUAAAUUCUUAUACCCAGUACAAAUCUUAAUGUAACCUUUACAUUCCAGAAUAAAAUGUUGAAGUCGGUAGGAGCUACUGUGCUCAACACCUCACUGGGUUGGGCUCUCUGGCAAGCACCACCGUGUUUCUACAGCUCUCACUCUUGUUCUACUCAGAUUUUCCCAGUUUCCCACCCUUUUAUGAUUAUCACCCAAAGCUUUUCCUUUAAAUUAAACAAUUCUUUCACAAGAAAAUAGCUACUGAGGAUUUUAUUUAAAAGUGUUUUUUUUCUGAGCACUUGUUCUUAUGAGCCGGGUCUGCUGCUGAGCUCUGCUGGCCAACUUGCUGCCCCAUUGAUUCCUCCUCAGCAUGGUCCUGGGGCUGGCACAAGGACCUGCAUGAAGUGUUUUCUGAGUUCACCAGACACACCCCAAAGGAGUGUACUGAGGUAUCCUCACUCUUGCUUCAUGCAGUAGUUGCCUAUAGUUUUUCUUAAUUAGUCCUCAGCUAUGGCUAAUGUCAGUCAGCUCCCGAUUGCUCCUCAAAAUGCUGACAAGGGAUCUUUACUGCCUUGAGUUACUGUGGUGGAAAAAAGAGCAGCACCGAGUGACACUUCCACACAUUUCCUUCCUCACCACCAAAUACCAUAACUGAGUCUCACUGUGCUUGUGGUUUCAGCCCAGUAGUCUUAAAUAUGAUACAUAAUGGACAACAGCUUUGUUGUGAGGUUAAAAGUCCAGCAGCUGGAAGGGCUUACUUGAAGGUAUUGCUACAGCUCCUGGGUCUGCGUGGUCUAUCUGCCAGCAUCCAGGAUGUGGGCAAAGCUGGAUUUUUCUCCCUGAAUUUAAUUAUUUGAAAAAUUCACUGUGUGUUCAGGCCAACAGAAUUAUGGAAAUAACACUGUAAAUAUUAUUAUUUUUUUCACCACGGAAAUCAGUUUUCAUAAUUCCAGACACACAUCCAAAUCAAGCAGGAGCUGGUGUGCUCCAUCACUAGAAAGAAAGCAAAAGAGCAAGAGAGAAGUCAGUGUAGGAUGCACACACUUAAUCUGAUUUCAUUAGCUGUAUGAUCUUUAACUAAAGUAGAAAAUCUAGCAAGUCUGUGUAAAGAUACUCUUAUUUGAUUUUAGGAGCUGCCAAUUGUUUUCAUUUUAGCUUAACAGACUGCCUGAAGCUAAAGAAAGUCUGAGCAACAAAAACAGGCUGAAAUGAGAAAAACUAUGAAUUAUGGCAAACACAAUUACUUUGGUGUAACUCUGUGUGUGGACCCAUUUGCUUUCUGGUCGAAGUAUAUAAAAUCAAUUUACUGAAAGUCAAUAGCAAGCUGCCAGGGUGAAUGUUUUUUGUUCUUACAUUAUGUCUUGAACACUUAUACAACCUAUUACUCUUUUCCUUCUGAUAUUCCAUCUGGAACAAGCCUUCUAUAUUUAGCACCUUAAAAAGCAUUAUUUUUAAUUUUAUUUUUAUUUUUAUGUCUCAAAAUAAAUUGCACAAAGUAGAAUUUCAUAUGGAGUGCUAAAAGUCAUCUUAGUUCUUCACUGGUUCAGCAGUCUUCAAAAAAUGUGCUUGACUUUGCCUGAAGGGCUGUACAAUUUAAUGUCGCUGUUGUACCUCUGCAUCUCCAAACUGGUUUUACUCUGUAUAGCUAAAGGCUGCUUCAUUGUGCUUACAUGUUUCUACAUAAACAAGGCAAUUUGACUCCAGACUUCAAAACCAUUAUUGCUAUAUUGUUGUACACAGUGUAGAGAUUAUAAUGUGGGCUGUUAUUUUGUAUUAGAGGUUAAACUUUGGGUUGAUAUCUUCUAAUUGUCUGUUCCUGCUCUCGAAUUUAAUCAACAAAUUUUAUGUGCAUUAAAAUGGAAUUGUAAUUUAAUUUUCUUUACAGCUUUCAUAUUCUCAAGGAGAAUAAUUUGCCAGUUUGAUACAUUUACUUAUUGAUUUCAGUUUGUGUUGCCAGAUGUUCUGCUAUGCCACUUGACGUCUGUAUGCAAAGUAAAUGAAAAAGAAAAUUCAGAGAAAAAACCCAACAAACUAAUGCUAUGUUUUACAAA